RNAcentral lists this long non-coding RNA (48624 nucleotides) under Triticum aestivum (bread wheat). Its description in RNAcentral is "long non-coding RNA (TAES_LNC007381)". The stretch from base 42306 to 42391 matches the Rfam family "MIR1120/MIR1122 microRNA precursor family". The record is from RNAcentral. Lineage: Eukaryota; Viridiplantae; Streptophyta; Magnoliopsida; Poales; Poaceae.
UAGGCGGCGCUGCCCGUCAGAUCUGAGUUCCCCGUUCCCCUUCGCUCCUUUUCCUACCGCCUGACUCUGCAGCAAGUCAUACCUAUACCUAUCAGUAUUAGUAUAUGUCGCCGUAGUGUUCCCGUGCUUCUCGUAGGAAGAAGAAUCGACGAUGCGAGCUUGGUUCCAGAAGUAUUGUUGGUGGAUUAUUGUUCGUUCGAAGUUAUCUUGUCGUGUCGUCUGAUGUGGACAGACUGAUCUAUCUCUAUGUAUUGGAUGGACCGAAGUUAUGCAAGUCUAAGUUAUGCUGUCUGAUUAUUGAUCUCGAUGAAACUUGCAUAUCAUUUUCAUUUUCCUAAAACAAAAACAGUUUAUUUUUUUCAUUUUGUGAAGUGUCAGGUUUCCAGUUGUUGGAUCUUUGUGUGCAUCUCGGAGCGUGCUCCUCUGUGGUUGUACAGGCUUGAUUGUUCAUUGUUUUAUGUGACUGUUUAGUGUGGUUGGAUGGAUUGUGGAAAUUGCAUGCUUAACUAUGACUGUUCACAGAUUAGUAUUAGUACAUUUGUUCAGAGAUUAGUUUUAGUACAUUUGUUCAGAGAUUAGUUUUUUUCAUGUGUUAUAUUUGUUCAGAUAUUAGUAUUGGUAUAUAUGUUUGAUGCAUGAAUGAACAGCCCCACUAUUUAUAUCUGUGUACUGAGGUCAACAAGGUUUCGUAGCUAUGUUGUGCUUACAGUUUCUCUAUGCUUUCUGUUCCUUUGUCUGUCAGCUUGCAUCGUUGUUCAGUAUAUCGGUAUUUGGAGUUUUAAUCUGUCUUACUUACAGUCAUUGAGCUCUUGCCUGGCGAUGGCUUCUUAUAUCCAGUAAUUUUCUUUUGGUCUCUCUUUGUCGUCAACCUCUUACUCAGUUUUUAGCCUUUUAAUUCUCAUCUUUUUUCUUCAGCUUCACCAGUUUCUUUGUUCCUGUUUGAAGUUUCUCAAAUUUUGUCCAUGGCACAUUGCAUUAUUUAUUCAUAUUGCGGUAAUGAUUAUGACAAUUAUAUCCUUAUUUUUUGGAAGUGACAAACAAAGAAGCACCCAGAGUUAAGACACUUUCUUUUUGCAAGCUUUAUUUUUUUGCAUUUGCAUGGUUGGUUUUUGCAUUGGUGAAUUUCAUGUGCAACCAAGCUGUAAGUCAGUCACCUUGUUUCAUUUUGUACUGAUGAAUGGAAGUUAUCGUUUGCUUGCUAUGAAGUUCUUUUUUUUUUAAAUCUAAAAUUGACAGGCAAUUGCAUUUGUAGCCAUAAACGGAACAGACACCUUUGUGAUAGUCCAAGUAGCAUACUUUUGUUAGCUAUUCAGAAAAGAUGUUGCUAUACUAUCUCUUACUGCGGCUUAAAUUGUUUUAAAUUGUUGUUCUCAUCUUUCUAUGUCUUUGUUCCGUCAGUCUUGUAUCUCAUCAGGAUUUAGUGUGUGUUUUGUCAGUCUUCAGUGUCUUGCAUCUCAUCAGGAUUUAGUGUGUGUUUCUUCAGUCUUUUCUCUGUCAGUGUUUAGAUUUCAGUGCUAUAUCAGAUACAGUAUAUCUUUACCAACGCAGCAUUUUGUCAAAAAAUCAAGUCUAUCUAGCUUUUUCUCUUACAUUUUUGCCUCGAGUUUUUGUGCAGCUAUGUUUUCUUUUUCCAGAGAUGAUCACAUGUAUGUAUUUUACCGUGUGUUUAUCUAGUUGUAAUGUCAAGUGCCAGGUCAUUGUGGGAUGAAUGUUUCUCGAGUAUGAUCUGUAGUAGACUACGAAGAAUCCUGAAAUCUCGGAUUUUGGUGGCAAAUUAGACUCUGCGUAUAUAUUAAUAUCAAAGUAGACUAUCAAUUUAAUUUUGAUUGGUGAUGCUUAUCAUGUGCAUUGUGGGAUCAAUGUUUCUUGAUUUUUAGUUGUAGAGUAUUUUUAGGAGCCGAUGGAUCUUGAAUUCAAGGACUAGUUCUGAAUCUGUUACAUUUUGGCCAACGAGCUCAGUGAGUUACUCCCUUUGUUUGGAAUUACUCGUCGAAGAAAUGAAUGUAUCUAGAUAUAUUUUAGUUGUAGAUACAUCCAUUUUUGUUUCCGGAGGGAGUACAUGUCAACAAUUUACUCUAGCAUUGUAUAUUUGAACUCGUCUGGCUGGGCAACUUGUACCGUUUAUAUGGUUUUAUUUAGUUUUGUGUAUACAUAACCUGAUUUCAUAUGCUUGGCUGAAAAUUGCACGGGUAAGUUUCAUGUUGCUUGUUCCGAAGAGUGCUGUAUGGAGGUUUGGUUAUCAAUGAAUGUCAAAGGAUGAAAAGAGCAACAACAGAAUAAGGUCAUUUUGCUUACCUCUCCAGGAUUUUAGUGUGUUUCUUCAGUCUUCUCUCUGUUUUCACUUAAGAUGUCAGUGCGAAAACACCCGUGUCUUAUGAAAUCCAUUUCUUUAAAUGUAACCUUCAAAUUUUCUAGCUUGCAGGACUAUCCGUCCUUUUUACAUUUUUGCCUUCGGUUUUUGUGUUACUUCUGCUGAAGGUGGAUGCUGUCGGUUUUCCAAAUUGUGAACAUGAGCAAGGUAGGAAUUACGUAGUUUCAGCUUUCAUGAAACAGAAAAGCUAACCAGCGAACGUGAGAUUUUUGGUGAUCUCCAGCGAAACACCCUUCCUCAUCCUGAUCCACCCCCGCCCCCACUUUCCUCUUCAGAGCAAGCCCCCUCCUCGAUCGUCGGCGAGUCUAUUCUCGUCGUCUAUGAUAUCUUGUGCGGCCGCGUCGAGUUUCUUCCGUCAGUCCUCGACGACGAUUAAACACGGAGCUCGACUUGCUGAUGUUCUUCCCUCCCAAGAUCGCCCAUCGUGAGCAGCCUCGCUCUUUCCCGAUGCAACCAGACUGAAUGCUGAGCGAGGAGGCACGGGCGUCGCCCGAACCGCAAUGGAUGGACUCGCUCGAGUUACGCCGGCGUGCCUUGCAGCUGUCGCUGCCCCUCUAGGAGAUCGACGCCAGCGCUGUCGCUGCCCCUCUAGGAGAUCGACGCCAGCGCGGCGACCUACGACUUGGCCUGGAGCCCCUGUGCCUACCUGCUCACCAUGGCUGCCGCAAGGAGCUCCUGCGCUAGAUCCAACACCGCGCAGGCUGCCCCCAAGCUUCCAAGUUCCAACCACCGUCUCGACGAACCGCGGCGUGGUGCUCGUCCCCUUAGGUCCCGCCCCCCUCCCCUGCUUGCUCCCUCCCUUCCACCUUCCACGUCUUUCUUCUGUUCUUUGUGCUCCCCAUUGGUGUGUGCUAGACCAGCCCUGGCCGGUCCUUGUGUGCGCACUGUGUGACGGACCGCAGCGUUCAUCCCCUUAGGUUCUUCUCCCCCUGCCCGCUCCCUCCCUUCCAUCUUUCUUCUUCUGUUUUUUGUGCUCCCCAUUGGUGCGUGCUCGCUGGUCUAUGGCCAUGGCCGGUCCUUGUGUUCUCGCUGUGCUUCCGGCUCAUAGCGGUUCAGUAGACUUGCACAGGUUUCUUCAGAUUUCCAACGUGAAUGAAUUUAUUUUUAUGCCAAAUACCAGCUAGAUUAGGCUAUGAGGAUGGGCCAACUCAUGUAAUAACAUAAUGGAAAAUCCAGAUCUGUUGUCAUGGUUAUAUCAUGCGAAUUGUCACGGCUUUCUAUCAUGGCAAUUCACCAAUCCUAUUUCUUUUUUGUUGCGCCGCACUGUGAGGCAUCUCGCAUUUUAUAUCAGUAUGCAAGUUAGUCUAGUUGGUAAAUUCACAUUAGGUGUGUAGAUAGCGCAGACAAACUACAAUGGCAAAUUCACAUUAGGCAUGUAUAUGGUUUUUAGUUGGCAAAUUCACAAUUUGUAAACUGCCAUGGCACUUUUUUAUACUCCAUUACUAUUACAAGGCCACUUCAUUUUUAUGUCUAAUUUUGACCAUUAAUUUUACCAACAAAAUUUGAGUUAUAUGCCAUAAUAAGCAUGCCAUUAGAUGCACAUUUGAAAGAACUUUUUAUGAUAUAUUUUUUGUGACAAACGACCCAUAUAUUUUAUUUUUUUGCGAAUGAACCCAUAUUUUCUUGACCAAAAUUGUGAGUCAAAGUUUGACAUGAAAAAUGAAGUGGCCUUGUAUAUAAAAAUGGAGAGAGUAUAAUCUUGCAAUGUUACAUAGUUGCAAUUGGUGAAGGCACUUUCCACACCAAUUUUGACAAUCAGUAAACUACCAUGGCAAUUAGUCUUUCUUUUUGCAAUGACCCUUACAUAUUUUUGCCAUUUUAUAUAGUCAUUAAUUGUUGUUGUGGAUGCAAUUUUCGCCCUUCACAGUCCGUAAAAUUGCCGUGGGCCUUGUAUAUAAAAAUGGAGGGAUUAUAAUUUUUCCAUUUUACAUAGUUGCAAUUGGUGAAGGCACUUUCCACACCAGUUUUUACAAUUAUUAAACUGCCAUGGCAAUUACUUUCUUUCUGCAAUGACACCUUACAUAUUUGUGCCAUUUUUUAUGUUGUUGAUCGUUGUUGUGAAUGCAAUUUUCACCCUUCACAGUCCGUAAAAUUGCCAUGGGCAAUUUAGUACGAUCUUUUGGCAAGAGCCCAUGACACCUUAUAUAUUCUUUUUGCACGGGAUUUUUCAUAAAAUGUGUAUCCAACACAUGGCAAUUUUUUGAAAAUGUUUGCUUUUUAUCCUUCAUAUUUUCUUAGAAGAACAAAUGUUCUAUAUAACAUGGCAAGUUUGAAAUAUGUUUUUCAAAUGGCCACAAUCUAUUCUUUUUGUUAUUAUUUAAGAGAUGUCAUUUAUUAUUAUUAAGAGAUGGCUAGCAUUUUUUGUUUAUUAAGAGAUGGCAUUUUUUGUUUAUUUAGAGAUGAUGGCAUUUUUUGUUUAUUUAGAGAUGACUUUUAUUAUUUUUAAGAGAUGGCAUUUUUUAUUUAUUAAGAGAUAGCAUUUUUGUUUAUUAAGAGGUGGAAUUUUUUAUUUAUUAAGAGAUGGCAUUUUUGUUUAUUAAGAGAUGACAUUUUAUAUUAAGGUAUGGAAUUUUUAUUAUUAAGAGAAGUCAUUUUUUUACUAAUAGAUUACAUUUUUAUUAUUAAGAGAUGGCAUUUUUUACCAUGGCAUUUUUCUUAUUCUUUGUUACAUGGCAACUCAAAUUAUAGGGCCAUGACAAGUUUAAAACAUUUUUUGAAUAUCCAUGGUGAAUUUAUGAUAUUAUAGGACGGCAUAUUUUAGAAGUCCAGAGCAUGGAUUUUUUUGAAAAUGUCUGUUUUUUAUCCUUCACAUUUUCUUAUAAGAUCAAAUGUUCUAUAUAACGUGGAAAGUUUGAAAUAUGUUUUUCAAAUGGUCAUAAUCUGUUUCUUUCUGGUUUUGCCAUGGCACAUUCAAAACAUUAUGUUUCCCAUGGCAAAUAUCAUGGCAACUUUAUGUUGGCAUUUUUCUUACGGACAAAUGGGGUGGCAACUUUUUCUAGGUGUUACAAAAUGGUUUCAUGGCAUGUGUAUUUUUCCAUACAUGGCAAAUUUGUCAUGUUUUGUAUGGUAUUUUUAUAAAAGUUUUGCCAUGCAUGGCUGGGAUUUUUUUGCCCAACUGGGGUUCGAUCUCACAACCUCUUUUAGAGGCAAGUUCUGUUCUGGAGGGGCAGGGGGUUUAUCGGUGCGAACGAUUUCGUUCGCUGCAGCCUCCCCCCACGCUAGCUGGUUAUUGUUGCUGUAAAAAAAAAGGAGCUGGUUCUUGUUAGCGUAUUGUAUUUUAUGUGUACAUUGUACCUGUGUAUGUGUAUCCUCCUGGUAUAUAGGAUCGUGAGUAGUGCCCGGGCCUGCGUGCCACUUCCUUCGGGUUUCUUUCAGAGGCACUGGGCUUUACUGAAAGAUGAUAUUGUUCUGGCCAUUUUGGAUUUUUUUAAUGGGGGUAUUUUGCCCGAGGGGUUGAAUGACACGUCCAUCACCUUGAUCCCAAAGGUACGACACCCACAUCGAAUCACUCAGUAUAGACCCAUAUCCUUAUGUUCUGUCUUAUACAAGAUUGCCUCAAAAUGCAUCACCAAUAGAAUGAGGGUUUUUAUGGGGGAGAUAAUCAGUGAAGAACAAAGCGCGUUUGUCCCUGGGCGCCUAAUAACUGAUAAUGUGCUCAUUGCGUAUGAAAGUGUUCAUGCAAUGAAACGACGGAAGAGAGGGAAGAAUUGUGUUUGUGCAAUGAAACUUGACAUGAUGAAGGCAUAUGACCGAGUAGAAUGGCAUUAUCUGGAAGCCAUCAUGCUGCGUUUGGGUUUCAGCGCACAGUUUGUCAGACUGAUAAUGAAGUGUGUCACGUCGGUUAGAUUUACUGUUCCUGUGAACAGGGAGUUGCUGCCAUUUUUUACACCCUCAAGAGGGUUUCGUCAAGGGGACCCUGUCUCACCGUAUUUGUUCCUCCUAUGUGCAGAAGGUUUCACUUCCUUGCUGAAGUUUUAUGGAGGAGUCAAUAUCGACAGAGGUAUUCGCGUAAGCUAUCAAUCGCCUUGGAUAAAUCAUCUUCUGUUCACGGAUGAUAGUCUUAUUCUCAUGAAUGCACAGGUAGCUAGUGCACUCAGGUUGAAUGAGGUGCUACAGAUUUACAGUGACUGCUCCGGUCAGUGUGUUAAUAGGGACAAGAGCUCGGUCUAUUUCAGUCCUAACACAACCGAACCAGUGCGCUGUUUGUUGAAGGCAGUUCUGAACAUCUCAGUUGAAGCGUUCAGUGAACGAUAUCUGGGACUCCCAACUGCUGUUGGCCGUAUCACUAGUGGAACUUUCGAAUUUCUCAGAGAAAGGAUGAGAAGCAAACUACAAGUAGGAGUGGAAUGUCUCAUUUCUUGUGCUGGCAGGGAGGUCAAGCUGAAAGCUGUGGCCCAAGCAAUACCCACACACUCCAUGAGUUGCUUCAGACUCACUAAGAAGGUCUGCAAAGGCCUUUCUUCUGUCAUGGCUAGAUAUUGGUGGAGUAGCUCAAUCGAUCGCAGAUCGCUCCAUUGGAUUGAUUGGCCUUCACUUGCUGAACCCAAGGUUGCUGGAGGGAUGGGGUUUCGUAACCUAGAAUUGUUCAACUUAGCCCUGCUCGGAAAGCAUGGGUGGAAUUUGAUUAUCAACCCGGACUCUCUCUGUGCUCGUGUACUGAAGGGAAAAUAUUUCCCGCAAAGUGACUUCAUGGCCGCAACUGUCCCAAAGUGUGCCUCGGCCACAUGGCGUGCAAUUUGUGCGGGCAAACAAGCUUUGGGAGCUGGCCUAGUGAAACGAAUUGGUGAUGGCACAUCGGUGUCCAUUUGUUAUGAUAGCUGGGUGCCGGGCCUACUCUCCUUACGGCCAACUACUCACAUUGGUGACACAAAUAUUACUGCUGUGUCUGAGUUGAUCGAUGGAGACCGAGGUUUAUGGAAGGUUGAGCUGGUGAGGCACCAUUUUAUCACCCCCAAAGCUGAUGCAAUCCUCAAUAUCCCGUUAAGGGCGAAUGGGGGCGAGGAUUAUUGGGCAUGGACUGCAGAAAAGUCGGGUAUCUACACUAUGAAAUCAGCGUACCGUUCUCUCAUGACCUUGAAUGAGCACUCUGCUCAAAGGGAAGGGACGGCCACGGAAACCUCAGAGCAACAAAAAUAGUUGUGGACAAGACUUUGGAAGCUAAAAGUUGUGCCAAAAGUCAGAGUGUUUUGGUGGCGAGUGCUUAGGGGAAUUCUUCCCACUGAGGGCGCUUUGAAACAUCAACACACCGCUGUCUUGGCACGUUGCAAAGUCUGCCUAGAUGCAGACGAGGAUAUAUAUCACGCAUUGAUUAAAUGCACUCAUGCUAAGCUCUUCUGGAAGGAGGCGAGGGAAAUUUUAUCUGUCAAACUACCGGAGCUCCAUACAGAAACUUGGUCAAGGGACAUUUUAUGUGACCCUAGAUUCAAUGAGGCAGAUCAAGCAAAAGUUAUUACUGUCAUGUGGGCAAUUUGGACAUCCAGGAACAAUAUUACACAUGAUAGGGCUAGCUUGGAUCCAGUUCACUCCAUGAAGAUGACAAGAGAGGCCUUGUCGCUGCUAGAACUACCCCAACAACAUGCAAUGAUCUUACCGGGCCAUGGUUGGCGACCACCUGAUGCAGAUUGUAUAAAUGCUGGGAUUUCCAUGGAGGCAAGGAAGUGCGGGCUGGGAGGUGUUGCCAGAUCUGCUACUACAUUCUUGAGUGCCUGGUGCAAACCUAUCCAGGGCACUACGAAUCCACUUGUCGCGGAGGCCUUGCUCUCCAUGAAGGUGUGGUUUUUGCUCAACUUCAUGGCUUUGUGCGGGUGGAGAUGGAGACCGACAGCAUGGAGGUCGUCGAUCUUUGGAACUCGCGCCGUUCUUCGCGCUCGCUGAUAGCGCCUGUGUUACUUGAUAUUGAGGGUUUAGCUGCCUCUUUUUCCUUUUUUACUAUUCGUCAUGUAAAGAGACAUGCCAAUAUCCCCGCCCACCUGUGUGCAUAACAUGCCUGCACAAGGGAGGUAACGGAGUGUUGGAUGAACAAUCCUCCUGGCUUACUAAUCACCAGUCUAAUGGCUGACAGUGCAGGAGCAAUCUAUCUGGAAUAAAACCCUCAUUAUCCCACAAAAAAAACACUUCCUUCGUGUGUUCAGUUGUACCUCUCAUGUAUAUGUUAUAACGGUGGCUGAGUAAUGAAUACACAGAGCAUUCUAUCCUCUAGCUUGGUAUCUGUUUCUCAGGUCGCAUCCAUGGCCACCAAUUCCUCUUCCUCCUCCUCGGCCACCAGCCCUGCCACCUCGCCGGCCUCUCUGUCCGGCACCAGCACUGCCGCACCCACCACUGCUGGCACCUCACCAUCUCUUGGCGGCACCACCACUCCUCUGCCUUUCAGUUUGCUACCCUUUUCUCCUCCGCCAGAUCGCCGCUCCCAUCGGCCGCCCCUUCUCGUCACCCAAUCUUCGUCAACAACAUCCAAAACCACAUUAAGUUUCUUCUGAACCCCGACGACUACCACAAGUGAAAGUCCUUCCUCAUGGUUCUGAUUCGCUAUGGCGUCACCCACUUCAUCGAGCACCAUCCUCCUCCCAACGCUGAUGCUGCCUACCGUGAGCUUGAUGCCCACCUCGUCCUUUGGAUCUACGCGACUCUCGCUGAUCCUCUCGUCGACCUCGUCGUCGGCGCCACCUCUGUCUAUGAUCUCUGGAUGCGUAUCCACGACUAUUUCCUCGCCAAUCACGCUGCCCGGUACAUGAUGCUCAACCGACAGUAUCACAAUCUCAAGCAGGGCAACCUCUCCGUCGCCGAGUAUGCCCGCCGCAUGAAGUUACUCACUGCCGGCCUUGCGGACAUCGACCACGCUUUCACAGAGGUGGAUCUCACCACCCAGUUCCUCCACGGCAUCGACAAACGUCUCGAUACCAUCCGCGUCGUCUUGGGGGACACAGUUCCCCUUCCGCCCUUCGAGACGUUCUUCUCCCGCCCUUACAAGUGUUGUUAUUGCUCUAUAGUUACCCACAUUUAUAUUCUGUCUAUUCUGCUUUGUCUUGAACAAAUAUUAUUUGAACUGUGUCUCUAUCUUGAUUUGGCAACAAAAACUAGAAUGAUAUAGACCAUAAAGUGACCAUGAUACAUAGAUAUAUGUUUGUUUCAUGCUGUUAUCCUGUCCACUUUACUACUGAACUCAUUUACCAAAAUGAGUUUCAUAUACAACAUGGUAAACAUGUGAUGUGUCUGCUUGUUUCUCUUUUAGAAUGUGGACAAAAUAUUGGAGAACAGUACCGCGUUAUCCAAUGGUAAAGGAAGUAAUGCAGAUAAGGUUCAAGAUAGUGAGACAUCCCUGUUGGUCUCCAAGAAAGCUGAUAAAAACUAUCUUGACGACAGUGAGGGAACCCAAAAGUCCUGUCUUGAUGUAGUGUUCGUGUUAUUGGCCACUACUGCUGGCACAAGCUCUUCGAACUUGCUGCCUGAAUCAGUUCGUCUUCUUGAGUCUUAACUUCAAGUUGAAAUACAUCGAUCAGAUGUGCUGCGACAGGAAGCUGAAGGACUGAGGAAGUCCCUGCAGAAUUCAGAUGCAUAUUUUCUGGUGCAACAGCAAGCGCUGGAGGAUUUAAGUGCCAAACAAGAGAAAGUUAAUAAGCUUGCUAAGCAUCUUGCCAGCAUUAUGGGUACCCAAGAUAUUGUUUCUUGAGAUCUUCUGAAGUGGUUUCAGUUCUGGAUUUGUUUUGCUGUGGCGUUUAUUUGCGCUGGUCGCCAACUUUGACAACCAGUGUAUAUGAUAUGUUGCUUUGUUCCCUAUAUUUGCACUGGUGGCGAACUUUGAUGCCCAGUGGAUGUAAUAUGUGUAACAACCGUGAUAGCCUAGCAAAAGUUGCUUGCUUAUUUAUUUCCUUGUUGUCUUGUUUAUUUGUUUGCUUGUAGUCAGUGCAGUUCUUUUUAAAACUAGGCCACAAUAACCAUGGGCUAAUAUUUACUGUAGUGACACUGGGCCUCCUACGAGCUGUAGAAAUAGUGGGCCUUCUACGGGCCAUAGAAACAGUAGGCCUUCUACAGGCCGUAGAAACAAUGGGCCUUCUACGGACCGUAGAAACAUUGGGCCUUCUACGGGCCGUAGAAAAAAUGGGCCUUCUACGGGCCGUAUCAUCAAUGGGCCUUCUACGGGCCGUAUCAUCAAUGGGCCUUAUACGGGUCGUGUGACCAUAACGGGCCAUGUUAAUAGGCCGUAUUUGAUGACGCUAUGAAAACGGCACAGCGUAUUAACGGACCACAAACGGGCCGAUGUAACCACGGGCUGAAUUUGGCCCACAAGCAGAAAAUGACAGUAACGGGCCGUAAGUAAACGAAUGCUGGAAAUGAGCUCAAGAAUAAAUGGGCUCUAAGAAGGUUGAAAGAUAACAUUUGCUGGAAACGACCCAAUUGAAUAACGGGCCCUUAAUGGGUAUAAAGUGAUAUACUGUUCAUUACGGGCCAGUUUCACCAUGGGUCGUUAAUGGGUGUAAAGUGAUACACUGUUCAUUGCGGGCCAGUUUCACCAUGGGCUGUUAAUAGGCCAAGAGUUACAUAGGGCCUCAUAUGGGCCGAAAGACGUCAUGGGCCAUACAUGGGCCAGAAGUGAAAACGGGUUGGAAUCAUAUUGGAUGGCCCAGAUGAUGCUACUGGGCUUAAUUCCGAUAGGGCAUAACGGGCCUUAGGUUAGCGGGCUGUAAAUGGGCUAUAUGCGAACAUGCCGUUAACAUGCUUUCCAUGGGCCGGCCCACCACCUUUUGACCAAGUCAAAAGGGUCGGCCUUUUCACAGGAAUGGGCCUCUGUUGGGCACGUGUCGAUGUAUCAUAGGCACCUUCUGUCCAAUGAGUGGAUGACAUCUGUCCCAACGGUGAGCCGACACGUGUUUCCUCCAUCCAAUGAUGAUUUUACACGUGGAAAAUCCCCAUUGGUCGGGGCUGAUAACGGGUUAUCGGAUCCAAAACCCGACCCGAUAGCUUAACGGCAUUCCGUUACGGUGGAUGCCACGUGUCGGUCACCCUUGACGAAAGUACUUCUGUGACGCACGAUUUAUCAUCAUGGAAGUGGACACUUCUGUGAUGAUAAUUUUGGUAAUGUCAUGGAACACUUCUACGACAGCACAGGUAUGACUAUCUUGAUUCUGUCAUAAAUUUGUCAUGGAUAUACAUGCAUGACAAAAAACGCGACCUACUGUGACAAACACGUAUCAUCACGGAAGUGUAUUUUUUUUUGUAGUGAAGCCCUCAAACCAUCUCCACUUUAGCAGCAAAUAAAUUUCUUCCUGCAUGUAAUAACAAAAUGCACACUCCAUGUAAUGCUUGUCAGCUUGGCCGACAACCGCGUCUCCCUUUCCCUUCCUCUAGUAGCCGCACAUAUGCUCCCUUUGACUUAUUCAUUGUGACUUGUGGAUGUCACCAGUUGUAAGCUUUUCCGGCUAUCAAUACUAUUUAGUUGUGCUUGAUGAUUAUACUCAUUUUUCCUGGACCUUUCCCUUGCGCAACAAAUCUGACACCUCCACCAACUUACAAUGCUUCUUCACCUUUGUGCGUAUGCAAUACAAUGUCAUUAUCAAAGCCUUGCAAUUUGAUAACGGCAGCGAGUUCAUCAACACCUACUUGCGCACCUUUCUCUCUGCCAACAGCAUCGCUUAUCGGUUUUCAUGCCCCCACACUUCUCCCCAAAAUGGCAAGGCUGAGUGCCUCAUACGUACCACCAAUGACAUCAUAUGCACUCUUAUCCAAGCUCACUUACCCCCACCCUUCUGGGUUGAGGCGCUGCACACCGCCACACACUUGCUCAACAUACGUCCCCCUAGCAUAUUGAGAUUGAUCUCCAUUUCGUCCAUGAUCGUGUGGCUCUUGGUGAAGUUCGUGUCCUGCAUGUACCGUCCAGUUCUCAGUUUGCGGAUGUCUUCACCAAGGGCCUUCCUACACAUGUGUUCACUGAGUUUCGCGCCAGCCUAAAUAUCCUUCCACACGGAGUUCCGGCUGAGGGGGGGGGGGGUGUUGGGGAACGUAGUAAUUUCAAAAAAAUUCCUACGCACACGCAAGAUCAUGGUGAUGCAUAGCAACGAGAGGGGAGAGUGUGUCCACGUACCCUCGUAGACCAAAAGCGGAAGCGUUAGCACUACGCGGUAGAUGUAGUCGUACGUCCUCAUGGCUCGAUCGAUCAAGCACCGAAAGCACGGCACCUCUGAGUUCUUGCACACGUUCAGCUCGAUGACGUUCCUCGAACUCCAAUCCAGCUGAGUGUCAAGGGAGAGUUCCGUCAGCACGACGGCAUGGUGAUGAUGAUGAUGUUCUACCGACGCAGGGCUUCGCCUAAGCACCGCUACGAUAUUAUCAAGGUGGAAUAUGGUGGAGGGGGCACCGCACAUGGCUAAUAGAUCUCAAGGAUCAAUUGUUGUUGUCUUUAGAGGUGCCCCCUGCCCCCAUAUAUAAAGGAGCAAGGGGGAGGGGGCGGCCGGCCAGGAGGGGGCGUGCCAGGAGGAGUCCUACUCCCACCGGGAGUAGGACUCCCUCCUUUCCUUGUCCAAGUAGGAGAGGGGGAAGGAAGGGAGAGAGGGGAGGAAGGAAGGGGGGGGGGGUGCCGCCCCUCCUCCUUGUCCUAUUCGGACUAGAGGGGGAGGGGGGCGCGACCUGCCCUGGCCGCCCCUCCUCUUCUCCACUUUGGGCCCAUGAGGCCCAUUAACCCCCCCGGGGGUUCCGGUAACCCCCUGGUACUCCGGUAUAUAUCUGAUAACCCCCGGAACCAUUCCGGUGUCCGAAUAUAGUCGUCCAAUAUAUCAAUCUUGAUGUCUCGACCAUUUCGAGACUCCUCGUCAUGUCCGUGAUCACAUUCGGGACUCUGAACUAUCUUCGGUACAUCAAAAUACAUGAACUCAUAAUAUAACUGUCAUCUAACUUUAAGUGUGCGAACCCUACGGGUUCGAGAACUAUGUAGACAUGAUCGAGACACAUUUCCGGUCAAUAACCAAUAGCGAAACCUGGAUGCUCAUAUUGGCUCCUACAUAUUCUACGAAGAUCUUUAUCGGUCAAACCGCAUAACAACAUAUGUUGUUCCCUUUGUCAUCAGUAUGUUACUUGCCCGAGAUUCGAUCGUCGGUAUCUCAAUACCUAGUUCAAUCUCGUUACCGGCAAGUCUCUUUACUCGUUAUGUAAGGCAUCAUUCCAUAACUAACUCAUUAGCUACAUUGCUUGCAAGGCUUAAAGUGAUGUGCAUUACCGAGAGGGCCCAGAAAUACCUCUCUGACAAUCGGAGUGACAAAACCUAAUCUCGAAAUACGCCAACUCAACAUGUACCUUUGGAGACACCUGUAGAGCUCCUUUAUAAUCACCCAGGUACGUUGUGACGUUUGGUAGCACACAAAGUGUUCCUCCGGUAAACGGGAGUUGCAUAAUCUCAUAGUUGUAGGAACAUGUAUAAGUCAUUAAGAAAGCAAUAACAACAUACUAAACCAUCAAGUGCUAAGCUAACGGAAUGGGUCAAGUCAAUCACAUCAUUCUCCUAAUGAUGUGAUCCCGUUAAUCAAAUGACAACUCAUGUCUAUGGUUAGGAAACACAACCAUCUUUGAUUAACGAGCUAGUGAAGUAGAGGCAUACUAGUGACAUUAUGUUUGUCUAUGUGUUCACACAUGUAUUAUGUUUCUGGUUAAUACAAUUCUAGCAUGAAUAAUAAACAUUUAUCAUGAUAUAAGGAAAUAAAUAAUAACUUUAUUAUUGCCUCUAGGGCAUAUUUCCUCCAGUCUCCCACUUGCACUAGAGUCAAUAAUCUAGAUUACACAGUAAUGAUUCUAACACCCAUGGAGCCUUGGUGCUGACCAUGUUUUGCUCGUGGAAGAGGCUUAGUCAACGGGUCUGCAACAUUUAGAUCUGUAUGUAUUUUGCAAAUCUCUAUGUCUCCCACCUGGACUUGGUCCCGGAUGGAAUUGAAGCACCUCUUGAUGUGCUUGUUCCUCUUGUGAAAUCUGGAUUCCUUUGCCAAGGCAAUUGCACCAGUAUUGUCACGGAAGAUCUUCAUUGGUCCUGAUGCACUAGGUAUGACACCUAGAUCGGAUAUGAACUCCUUCAUCCAGACUCCUUCAUUUGCUGCUUCUGAAGCAGCUAUGUACUUCGCUUCACAUGUAGAUCCCGCCACGACGCUUUGUUUAGAACUACACCAACUGACAGCUCCACUGUUCAAUAUAAACACGUAUCCGGUUUGCGAUUUAGAAUCAUCCGGAUCAGUGUCAAAGCUUGCAUCGACGUAACCAUUUGCCACUAGCUCUUUGUCACCUCCAUAAACGAGAAACAUAUCCUUAGUCAUUUUCAGGUAUUUCAGGAUAUUCUUGACCGCUGUCGAGUGAUCCACUCCUGGAUUACUUUGGUACCUCCCUGCUAAACUUAUUGUUAAGCAUACAUCAGGUCUGAUACACAGCAUUGCAUACAUGAUAGAGCCUAUGGCUGAAGCAUAGGGAACAUCUUUCAUUUUCUCUCUAUCUUCUGCUGUGGUCGGGCAUUGAGUCUGACUCAACUUCACACCUUGUAAUACAGGAAAGAACCCUUUCUUUGAUUGAUCCAUUUUGAACUUUUUCAACACUUUAUCAAGGUAUGUGCUUUGUGAAAGUCCAAUCAAGCGUCUUGAUCUAUCUCUAUAGAUCUUGAUGCCUAAUAUGUAAGCCGCUUCACCGAGGUCUUUCAUUGAAAAACUUUUAUUCAAGUAUCCUUUUAUGCUAUCCAGAAAUUCUAUAUCAUUUCCAAUUAACAAUAUGACAUCUACAUAUAAUAUCAGAAAUGCUACAGAGCUCCCACUCACUUUCUUGUAAAUACAGGCUUCUCCAAAAGUCUAUAUAAAACCAUAUGCUUUGAUCAAACUAUCAAAGCAUUUAUUCCAACUCCGAGAGGCUUGCACCAGUCCAUAAAUGGAUCGUUGGAGCUUGCACACUUUGUUAGCACCUUUUGGAUUGAUAAAACCUUCAGGUUGUAUCAUAUACAACUCUUCUUCUAGAAAUCCAUUCAGGAAUGCAGUUUUGACAUCCAUUUGCCCUAUUUCAUAACCAUAAAAUGCGGAAAUUGCUAACAUGAUUCGGACAGACUUAAGCAUCGCUACGGGUGAGAAAGUCUCAUCGUAGUCAACCCCUUGAACUUGUCGAAAACCUUUCACAACAAUUCAAGCUUUGUAGACAGUAUUAUUACCAUCAGCGUCAGUCUUCUUCUUGAAGAUCCAUUUAUUCUCGAUGGCUUGCUGAUCAUCGGGCAAGUCAAUCAAAGUCCAUACUUUGUUCUCAUACAAGGAUCCCAUCUCAGAUUUCAUGGCCUCAAGCCAUUUUGCGGAAUCUGGGCUCAUCAUCGCUUCCUCAUAGUUCGUAGGUUCGCCAUGGUCAAGUAACAUGACCUCCAGAAUAGGAUUACCGUACAACUCUGGUGCGGAUCUUACUCUGGUUGACCUAUGAGGUUCGGUAGUAACUUGAUCUGAAGUUUCAUGAUCAAUAUCAUUAGCUUCCUCACUAACUGGUGUAGUUGUCAUAGGAACCGGUUUCUGUGAUGAACUGCUUUCCAAUAAGGGAGCAGGUACAGUUACCUCAUCAAGUUCUACUUUCCUCCCACUCACUUCUUUCGAGAGAAAUUCUUUCUCUAGAAAGGAUCCGAAUUUAGCAACAUAAGUCUUGCCUUCAGAUCUGUGAUAGAAAGUGUACCCAAUAGUCUCCUUUGGGUAUCCUAUGAAGACACAUUUAUCUGAUUUGGGUUCGAGCUUAUCUGGUUGAAGUUUCUUCACAUAAGCACCGCAGCCCCAAACUUUAAGAAACGAUAACUUUGGUUUCUUGCCAAACCACAGUUCAUAAGGCGUCGUCUCAACGGAUUUUGAUGGUGCCCUAUUUAACAUGAAUGCGGCCGUCUCUAAAGCAUAACCCCAAAACGAUAGCGUUAAAUCAGUAAGAGACAUCAUAGAUCGCACCAUAUCUAGUAAAGUACGAUUACGACGUUCGGACACUCCAUUACGUUGUGGUGUUCCGGGUGGCGUGACUUGUGAAACUAUUCUGCAUUGUUUCAAAUGUAAACCAAACUCGUAACUCAAAUAUUCUCCUCCAUGAUCAGAUCGUAGAAACUUUAUUUUCUUGUUACAAUGAUUUUUCACUUCAUUCUGAAAUUCUUUGAACUUUUCAAAUGUUUCAGACUUAUGUUUCAUUAAGUAGAUAUACCCAUAUCUGCUUAAAUCAUCUGUGAAGGUGAGAAAAUAACGAUACCCGUUGCGAGCCUCAAUGUUCAUUGGACCACAUACAUCAGUAUGUAUGAUUUCCAACAAAUCUGUUGCUCGCUCCAUAGUUCUGGAGAAUGGCAUUUUAGUCAUCUUGCCCAUGAGGCAUGGUUCGCAAGUACCAAGUGAUUCAUAAUCAAGUGAUUCCAGAAGUCCAUCAGUAUGGAGUUUCUUCAUGCGCUUUACACCAAUAUGACCCAAACGGCAGUGCCACAAAUAAGUUGCAUUAUCAUUAUCAACUCUGCAUCUUUUGGUUUCAACAUUAUGAAUAUGUGCAUCACUACUAUCGAGAUUUAGUAAAAAUAGACCACUCUUCAAGGGUGCAUGACCAUAAAAGAUAUUACUCAUAUAAAUAGAAGAACCAUUAUUCUCUGAUUUAAAUGAAUAAUCGUCUCGCAUCAAACAAGAUCUAGAUAUAAUGUUCAUGCUUAACGCUGGCACCAAAUAACAAUUAUUUAUGUCUAAAACUAAUCCCGAAGGUAGAUGUAGAGGUAGCGUGCCGACCACGAUCACAUCAACUUUGGAACAUUUCCCACGCACAUCGUCACCUCGUCCUUAGCCAAUCUUCGCUUAAUCCGUAGUCCCUGUUUCGAGUUGCAAAUAUUAGCAACAGAACCAGUAUCAAAUACCCAGGUGCUACUGCGAGCAUUAGUAAGGUACACAUCAAUAACAUGUAUAUCACAUAUACCUUUGUUCACCUUGCCAUCCUUCUUAUCUGCCAAAUACUUGGGGCAGUUCCGCUUCCAGUGACCAGUCUGUUUGCAGUAUAAGCACUCAUUCUCAGGCUUAGGUCUAGAUUUGGGUUUCUUCUCUUGAGCAGCAACUUGUUUGCCGUUCUUCUUGAAGUUCCCCUUCUUCUCACCUUUACCCUUUUUUCUUGAAACUGGUGGUCUUAUUGACCAUCAACACUUGAUACUCCUUUUUGAUUUCUACCUCCGCAGCUUUUAGCAUCACGAAGAGCUCGGGAAUAGUCUUGUCCAUCCCUUGCAUAUUAUAGUUCAUCACGAAGCUCUUGUAGCUGUGGCAGUGAUUGAAGAAUUCUGUCAAUGACACUAUCAUCAGGAAGAUUAACUCCCAGUUGAAUCAAGUGAUUAUUAUACCCAGACAUUUUGAGUAUAUGUUCACUGAUAGAACUAUUCUCUUCCAUCUUGCAGCUAUAGAACUUAUUGGAGACUUCACAUCUCUUAAUCCGGGCAUUUUCUUGAAAUAUUAACUUCAACUCCUGGAACAUCUCAUAUGCUCCAUGACGUUCAAAACGUCGUUGAAGUCCCGGUUCUAAGCCGUAAAGCAUGGCACGCUGAACUAUCGAGUAGUCAUCAUCUUUGCUCUGCCAGACGUUCUUAAUGUCGUCAGUUGCAUCUGUAGCAGGCCUGGCACCCAGCGGUGCUUCCAGGACGUAAUUCUUCUGUGCAGCAAUGAGGAUAAUCCUCAAGUUACAGACCCAGUCUGUGUAAUUGCUACCAUCAUAUUUCAACAUAGCUUUCUCAAGGAACGCAUUAAAAUUCAACGGAACAACAACACGAGCCAUCUAUCUACAACAAACAUAGACAAGCAAAAUACUAUCAGGUACUAAGUUCAUGAUAAAUUUAAGUUCAAUUAAUCAUAUUACUUAAGAACUCCCACUUAGAUAGACAUCCUCUAAUCAUCUAAGUGAUCACGUGAUCCAAAUCAACUAAACCAUGUCCGAUCAUCAUGUGAGAUGGAGUAGUUUUCAAUGGUGAACAUCACUAUGUUGAUCAUAUCUACUAUAUGAUUCAUGCUCGACCUUUCGGUCUCAGUGUUCCGAGGCCAUAUCUGUAUAUGCUAGGCUCGUCAAGUUUAACCUGAGUAUUCCGCGUGUGCAACUGUUUUGCACCCGUUGUAUUUGAACGUAUGAUGUGACCAUCUAUGCCAAGACUACUGUCACUCGUCCAAGAAAUAUUAAAGUUACACCGAUGCAUGAGAAGUUGACCGUGACAGUUCCAAAAGGGAAAGAAGCUGGUAUUUUAGAAGCUUUUUCAUAUAUACAGAUUGGUUCUAUGAUACUUCAGAUUUCUCCACCGCAAGAUGAAGUUAAACCAAAUUUUAGGACUCCACCGAAGAAGCUGUGAUCCGAUCGGCACAAAAAAUACUAGUUUUGUUAGCUUGGUAUUAUAGUAGAGUCCAAAGGUUGCACAAGUACUAGUUACGUAUACGUUUUAAGUCUAGGUUAGUUGGAAGGUGAUCAGCGUUGCCGGAGUAUUAAUUAGUCAAAUCUUAUUUUGUUUGGAUAGGAGAGUCCGUUUCAGCUUCGCUUACAUGGAGUCGGUUGAGAAGUGCCUGCGCGCACGUUAUAAAAGCAGGGAUACGCCAUGUAAAGAAGGUCAAGUUUUGUUUCAUCGUGAGUUCAAUAAUAGUCAGAAAACGUCCUAUGUCGAGGGACAACAAAUAUUGUCUUCGUUGCUGAUCCAUUUUGUUGCUGCUGCGCGUGGAGCCGAUCUAAUCUACUCAACGCUAGUUUCUUUUGAUCUUACGGUCUUGCAUAUUUGCUCGAUCAGAAUUUCUUGUGCUAUUGCCAGUAUCGUGAAAGAUCGGGCCAACGAACGACUCGCCAUCUAGUUGAGUCUUCAUCAAGUGGUAUUCAGAGCUAAGGUUGUUCACGGUACUGUGUUGAUUAAGAUGUCAACCUCGGCUGACAAGGGUGACGAGGUUGCUACUGAUUCUGAGGAAAUAGUGCGUCCAGUGUAUGCGGAUGAUAUUCCUCAAAAUAUUCGGGAUGGUUUUGACCACACAUGCAACUACAUCAAGCAAUGUCAUGACGCGCUCGGCAAAAGGAUAGAUGUCCUGAUCACUCGGUUCGAUGGUUUGGCAGACAUCAUCAAUAUGCCGGCAGCGACUUCUGCACCACCACAGACUGCUCCGGCUGCUCCACUGUAUUAUGCACCACCAGCUCGCGACGGAUAUGCUGGCGUGCAUGAUCGCCGUCUGGCAGCACACCCUCAUGCUGGAGAUGAUGGUUUCGGUGAUGGCAUUGACCGCGCGGGGUACGCGCCACGACCACGACACUAUGAGCCUCGUCCCGAAACAUCCAUUCGUGGUGGAGUGCAUGACCGAGUUGGUCAAGCUGUGCGUGUGCCUUUGGAUGAUGGAAUUGGGCGCAUAAAAAUUUCAAUCCCUUCGUUCUCCGGCAAGUGUGAACCAGAAGGCUAUUUGGAGUGGGAGAUGCGUGUUGAUCAAAUUUUUGAUGCCCAUCAUUAUAGCAAGGAGAAGAAAGUUCAACUUGCUGGAAUUGAGUUUACCGGUUAGGCGCUAAUUUGGUGGAAUCAAAUUUGUUGUUCAAGACAUCGCCCGACGACUUGGCGAGGUAUGAAAGAAUUCAUGAGGCGCCGUUUUGUUCCUGAGCACUAUAAAAGAGAUAUGUACAACAAGUUGCAGCGGCUCUCUCAAGGUAAUUUGAGUGUUGAUGAAUAUUACAAGGAGAUGGAAUUGCUUAUGAUACGUGCAGGGACAACGGAGGAUCUGGAGGCGACCAUGACACAUUUCUUUAACGGGCUAAAUAUCGAGGUGCAGGAACGUGUUGAGAUGGUGGUCUACUACAACAUACAAGAUCUUGUGCAUCAAGCUGUGCGUGCGGAACAACAGAUUAAGCGGCGCCAAGUCAACACAGUUCCCAGUACCACUUUGAACACAUGGUGACGCUCCCAGCAUCAGAGUGAGGAUAUCGGUCCUAGCUCGAGGACGGCAACAUCAAAUCGCCCUCAUGGUUCCGUGCAAAAGAAUGCUUCAAAAUCAGGACCGUCGAGGGUUGAUUCUAGUGCACAGUCGACCAAUCGUUCCAGUGACAUAGAGUGUUUCAAGUGUGGAGAAAGGGGACAUAUGAAGCGUGAAUGUCCUAAUGAGAAGAGAGUAUUGCUCACAAAAGAUGGCUAUGCAUCCGCGAGUGAUGAAGAGGCAGUUUCUGACACUUCUAGUGAAAAAUUUGAAGAUGCUGAGAAGGUGACUACUAGUUUUGAAGCUGCUGAAUCAUAUCCGUCCUUAAUGGUGCAGCGUGUGCAAGAGGAUCGCAUUGAGAAUAAGGGGCAGCGUUGGAAUAUUUUUCAGACUCAGUGCAAGAUCAACAACACCAAUUGCAAGUUGAUCAUCGACGGUGGAAGCUACACUAAUGCAGUCAGCAAGGACUUGGUGGAUGCUUUUGCUUUACCAACCUGGAAGCACCCACAACCACACUGUGUCGAAUGGUUAUAUCAGUCGGGCAAACUGAAAGUUACUCACAAGGUGCGCAUCAAUUUUUUGGUUGGCAAUUAUAUCGAUACAGUUAUCUGUGAUGUUCUACCAAUGGAUGCAUGCCAUUUGUUGUUGGGGAGGCCAUGGCAAUAUGAUCAUCGAGCUACACAUGAUGGGAGGUCCAACACUUAUUCCUUUUGGGACUCUGGAAGGCGACGUAUGUUACAGCCGAUGUUCUCUAGUGCAAUCAAGAAUGAUGUCUGUAAGAUCCCUAAAGGUAUCUUGAAGCCAAGGAUGGCUUCAUUUCAAGAGGGGCAGGAUGAUGUGACCAUCUAUGCCAAGACUACUGUCACUCGUCCAAGAAAUAUUAAAGUUACACCGAUGCAUGAGAAGUUGACCGUGACAGUUCCAAAAGGGAAAGAAGCUGGUAUUUUAGAAGCUUUUUCAUAUAUACAGAUUGGUUCUAUGAUACUUCAGAUUUCUCCACCGCAAGAUGAAGUUAAACCAAAUUUUAGGACUCCACCGAAGAAGCUGUGAUCCGAUCGGCACAAAAAAUACUAGUUUUGUUAGCUUGGUAUUAUAGUAGAGUCCAAAGGUUGCACAAGUACUAGUUACGUAUACGUUUUAAGUCUAGGUUAGUUGGAAGGUGAUCAGCGUUGCCGGAGUAUUAAUUAGUCAAAUCUUAUUUUGUUUGGAUAGGAGAGUCCGUUUCAGCUUCGCUUACAUGGAGUCGGUUGAGAAGUGCCUGCGCGCACGUUAUAAAAGCAGGGAUACGCCAUGUAAAGAAGGUCAAGUUUUGUUUCAUCGUGAGUUCAAUAAUAGUCAGAAAACGUCCUAUGUCGAGGGACAACAAAUAUUGUCUUCGUUGCUGAUCCAUUUUGUUGCUGCUGCGCGUGGAGCCGAUCUAAUCUACUCAACGCUAGUUUCUUUUGAUCUUACGGUCUUGCAUAUUUGCUCGAUCAGAAUUUCUUGUGCUAUUGCCAGUAUCGUGAAAGAUCGGGCCAACGAACGACUCGCCAUCUAGUUGAGUCUUCAUCAAGUGGUAUUCAGAGCUAAGGUUGUUCACGGUACUGUGUUGAUUAAGAUGUCAACCUCGGCUGACAAGGGUGACGAGGUUGCUACUGAUUCUGAGGAAAUAGUGCGUCCAGUGUAUGCGGAUGAUAUUCCUCAAAAUAUUCGGGAUGGUUUUGACCACACAUGCAACUACAUCAAGCAAUGUCAUGACGCGCUCGGCAAAAGGAUAGAUGUCCUGAUCACUCGGUUCGAUGGUUUGGCAGACAUCAUCAAUAUGCCGGCAGCGACUUCUGCACCACCACAGACUGCUCCGGCUGCUCCACUGUAUUAUGCACCACCAGCUCGCGACGGAUAUGCUGGCGUGCAUGAUCGCCGUCUGGCAGCACACCCUCAUGCUGGAGAUGAUGGUUUCGGUGAUGGCAUUGACCGCGCGGGGUACGCGCCACGACCACGACACUAUGAGCCUCGUCCCGAAACAUCCAUUCGUGGUGGAGUGCAUGACCGAGUUGGUCAAGCUGUGCGUGUGCCUUUGGAUGAUGGAAUUGGGCGCAUAAAAAUUUCAAUCCCUUCGUUCUCCGGCAAGUGUGAACCAGAAGGCUAUUUGGAGUGGGAGAUGCGUGUUGAUCAAAUUUUUGAUGCCCAUCAUUAUAGCGAGGAGAAGAAAGUUCAACUUGCUGGAAUUGAGUUUACCGGUUAGGCGCUAAUUUGGUGGAAUCAAAUUUGUUGUUCAAGACAUCGCCCGACGACUUGGCGAGGUAUGAAAGAAUUCAUGAGGCGCCGUUUUGUUCCUGAGCACUAUAAAAGAGAUAUGUACAACAAGUUGCAGCGGCUCUCUCAAGGUAAUUUGAGUGUUGAUGAAUAUUACAAGGAGAUGGAAUUGCUUAUGAUACGUACAGGGACAACGGAGGAUCUGGAGGCGACCAUGACACAUUUCUUUAACGGGCUAAAUAUCGAGGUGCAGGAACGUGUUGAGAUGGUGGUCUACUACAACAUACAAGAUCUUGUGCAUCAAGCUGUGCGUGCGGAACAACAGAUUAAGCGGCGCCAAGUCAACACAGUUCCCAGUACCACUUUGAACACAUGGUGACGCUCCCAGCAUCAGAGUGAGGAUAUCGGUCCUAGCUCGAGGACGGCAACAUCAAAUCGCCCUCAUGGUUCCGUGCAAAAGAAUGCUUCAAAAUCAGGACCGUCGAGGGUUGAUUCUAGUGCACAGUCGACCAAUCGUUCCAGUGACAUAGAGUGUUUCAAGUGUGGAGAAAGGGGACAUAUGAAGCGUGAAUGUCCUAAUGAGAAGAGAGUAUUGCUCACAAAAGAUGGCUAUGCAUCCGCGAGUGAUGAAGAGGCAGUUUCUAACACUUCUAGUGAAAAAUUUGAAGAUGCUGAGAAGGUGACUACUAGUUUUGAAGCUGCUGAAUCAUAUCCGUCCUUAAUGGUGCAGCGUGUGCAAGAGGAUCGCAUUGAGAAUAAGGGGCAGCGUUGGAAUAUUUUUCAGACUCAGUGCAAGAUCAACAACACCAAUUGCAAGUUGAUCAUCGACGGUGGAAGCUACACUAAUGCAGUCAGCAAGGACUUGGUGGAUGCUUUUGCUUUACCAACCUGGAAGCACCCACAACCACACUGUGUCGAAUGGUUAUAUCAGUCGGGCAAACUGAAAGUUACUCACAAGGUGCGCAUCAAUUUUUUGGUUGGCAAUUAUAUCGAUACAGUUAUCUGUGAUGUUCUACCAAUGGAUGCAUGCCAUUUGUUGUUGGGGAGGCCAUGGCAAUAUGAUCAUCGAGCUACACAUGAUGGGAGGUCCAACACUUAUUCCUUUUGGGACUCUGGAAGGCGACGUAUGUUACAGCCGAUGUUCUCUAGUGCAAUCAAGAAUGAUGUCUGUAAGAUCCCUAAAGGUAUCUUGAAGCCAAGGAUGGCUUCAUUUCAAGAGGGGCAGGAUGAUGUGACCAUCUAUGCCAAGACUACUGUCACUCGUCCAAGAAAUAUUAAAGUUACACCGAUGCAUGAGAAGUUGACCGUGACAGUUCCAAAAGGGAAAGAAGCUGGUAUUUUAGAAGCUUUUUCAUAUAUACAGAUUGGUUCUAUGAUACUUCAGAUUUCUCCACCGCAAGAUGAAGUUAAACCAAAUUUUAGGACUCCAUCGAAGAAGCUGUGAUCCGAUCGGCACAAGAAAUACUAGUUUUGUUAGCUUGGUAUUAUAGUAGAGUCCAAAGGUUGCACAAGUACUAGUUACAUAUACGUUUUAAGUCUAGGUUAGUUGGAAGGUGAUCAGCAUUGCCGGAGUAUUAAUUAGUCAAAUCUUAUUUUGUUUGGAUAGGAGAGUCUGUUUCAGAUUCGCUUACAUGGAGUCGGUUGAGAAGUGCCUGCGCGCACGUUACAAAAGCAGGGAUACGCCGUGUAAAGAAGGUCAAGUUUUGUUUCAUCGUGAGUUCAAUAAUAGUCAGAAAACGUCCUAUGUCGAGGGACACCAAAUAUUGUCUUCGUUGCUGAUCCAUUGGGAUUUUGUUGCUGCUGCGCGUAGAGCCGAUCUAAUCUACUCAACGCUAGUUUCUUUUGAUCUUACGGUCUUGCAUAUUUGCUCGAUCGGAAUUUCUUGUGCUAUUGCCAGUAUCGUGAAAGAUCGGGCCGACGAACGACUCGCCAUCUAGUUGAGUCUUCAUCAACGUAGAGCUUAUCACACCCGAUCAUCAUGUGGUGUCUCAGCACGAAGAACUUCCACAAUGGUGCAUACUCAGGGAGAACACUUAUACCUUGAAAUUUAGUGAGAGAUCAUCUUAUAAUGCUACCGUCAAUCAAAGCAAAAUAAGAUGCAUAAAGGAUAAACAUCACAUGCAAUCAAUAUAAGUGAUAUGAUAUGGCCAUCAUCAUCUUGUGCUUGUGAUCACCAUCUCCGAAGCACCAUCAUGAUCACCAUCGUCACCGGCGCGACACCUUGAUCUUCAUCAUAGCAUCGUUGCCAUUUCGCCACCUAUUGCUUCUAUGACUAUCGCUACCGCUUAGUGAUAAAGUAAAGCAAUUACAGGGCGAUUGCAUUGCAUACAAUAAAGCGACAACCAUAUGGCUCCUGCCAGUUGCCGAUAACUCGGUUACAAAACAUGAUCAUCUCAUACAAUAAAAUAUAGCAUCACGUCUUGACCAUAUUACAUCACAACAUGCCCUGCAAAAACAAGUUAGACGUCCUCUACUUUGUUGUUGCAAGUUUUACGUGGCUGCUACGGGCUGAGCAAGAACGGUUCUUACCUACGCAUCAAAACCACAACGAUAGUUCGUCAAGUUAGUGCUUUUUUAACCUUCUCAAGGACUAGGUGUAGCCACACUCGGUUCAACUAAAGUUGGAGAAACUGACACCCGCCAGCCACCUAUGUGCAAAGCACGUCGGUAGAACCAGUCUCGCAUAAGCGUACGCGUAAUGUCGGUCCGGGCCACUUCAUCCAACAAUACCGCCGAACCAAAUUAUGACAUGCCGAUAAGCAGUAUGACUUGUAUCGCCCACAACUCACUUGUGUUCUACUCGUGCAUAUAACAUCUACGCAUAAAACCAGGCUCUGAUACCACUGUUGGGGAACGUAGUAAUUUCAAAAAAAAUCCUACGCACACGCAAGAUCAUGGUGAUGCAUAGCAACAAGAGGGGAGAGUGUGUCCACGUACCCUCGUAGACCGAAGCGGAAGCAUUAGCACAACGCGGUUGAUGUAGUCGUACGUCCUCACGCCCCGACCGAUCAAGCACCGAAAGCACGGCACCUCCGAGUUCUUGCACAUGUUCAGCCUGAUGACGUCCCUCAAACUCUGAUCCAGCCGAGUGUUGAGGGAGAGUUCCGUCAGCACGACGGCGUGGUGAUGAUGCUGAUGUUCUACCGAUGCAGGACUUCGCCUAAGCAUCGCUACGAUAUUAUCGAGGUGGAAUUUGGUGGAGGGGGGCACCGCACACGGCUAAUAGAUCUCAAGGAUCAAUUGUUGUUGUCUCUAGAGGUGCCCCCUGCCCCCGUAUAUAAAGGAGCAAGGGGGAGGGGGCGGCCGGCCAGGAGGGGGCGUGCCAGGAGGAGUCCUACUCCCACCGGGAGUAGGACUCCCUCCUUUCCUUGUCCAAGUAGGAGAGGGGGAAGGAAGGGAGAGAGGGGAGGAAGGAAAGGGGGGGGGGCGCCGCCCCCCUCCUUGUCCUAUUCGGACAAGAGGGGGAGGGGGCGCGCGGCCUGCCCUGGAUGCCCCUCCUCUUCUCCACUUUGGGCCCAUGAGGCCCAUUAACCCCCCCCCCCCAGGGGGUUCUGGUAACCCCCCGGUACUGCGGUAUAUAUCCGAUAACCCCCGGAACCAUUCCGGUGUCCGAAUAUAGUCGUCCAAUAUAUCAAUCUUCAUGUCUCGACCAUUUCGAGACUCCUCGUCAUGUCCGUGAUCACAUCCGGGACUCUGAACUAUCUUCGGUACAUCAAAAUACAUGAACUCAUAAUAUAACUGUCAUCUAACUUUAAGCGUGCGGACCCUACGGGUUCGAGAACUAUGUAGACAUGACCGAGACACGUUUUCGGUCAAUAACCAAUAGCGAAACCUAGAUGCUCAUAUUGGCUCCUACAUAUUCUAUGAAGAUCUUUAUCGGUCAAACCGCAUAACAACAUACGUUGUUCCCUUUGUCAUUGGUAUGUUACUUGCCCGAGAUUCGAUCGUCGGUAUCUCAAUACCUAGUUCAAUCUCGUUACCGGUAAGUCUCUUUACUCAUUAUGUAAUGCAGCAUUCCGUAACUAACUCAUUAGCUACAUUUCUUGCAAGGCUUAAAGUGAUGUGCAUUACCGAGAGGGCCCAGAGAUACCUCUCCGACAAUCGGAGUGACAAAACCUAAUCUCGAAAUACGCCAACUCAACAUGUACCUUUGGAGACACCUGUAGAGCUCCUUUAUAAUCACCCAGUUAUGUUGUGACAUUUGGUAGCACACAAAGUGUUCCUCCGGUAAACGGGAGUUGCAUAAUCUCAUAGUUGUAGGAACAUGUAUAAGUCAUGAAGAAAGCAAUAGCAACAUACUAAAUGAUCAAGUGCUAAGCUAACGGAAUGGGUCAAGUCAAUCACAUCAUUCUCCUAAUGAUGUGAUCCCGUUAAUGAAAUGACAACUCAUGUCUAUGGUUAGGAAACACAACCAUCUUUGAUUAACGAGCUAGUGAAGUAGAGGCAUACUAGUGACAUUAUGUUUGUCUAUGUAUUCACACAUGUAUUAUGUUUCCGGUUAAUACAAUUCUAGCUUGAAUAAUAAACAUUUAUCAUGAUAUAAGGAAAUAAAUAAUAACUUUAUUAUUGCCUCUAGGGCAUAUUUCCUUCAGUGGGGUGUUAGCGUAUUGUAUUGCAUGUGUACAUUGUACCUCACUACUAGGGAAAACCCUAGCAGUAGCGUGUGCUUAAAGCCUAUCAGUAGCGCGGGGUACCGCACUACUAGUAAGGCUCUACAGCUAAAGGUUAGCAGUAGCAUGGGUUGGACCGAGCUAUUGUAUAUCGACUUAGUAGCUGCGCUUUCUAAAACAAGCACUACUGGUAAUUAGUAGUAGCACUUCUCCUAGCACGCACUACUACUAUUAUUCUGUAUUUCAUUUUUAUUUCAUGUUGUAUUCAUACACCUUUAUACAAGUUUUCAUACCACAACAAUUUAGAGAAUGAUUUUACAUCAUAAUGAGUUAUUACAUCAGUGGGAGAAAGAACCGUGGACUAGUUUCAAGUGGAUGGACAUCCACUUGAAACUAAUCCACGGUUCUUUCACCCAAUGAUAUAAUAAAUAUCAUCAUCAUCAUCAUAUCAUUAACAACUUAUCAUCAUAAUACAUCAUUGUCAUAUAACACCUCCUCAUGAUCAUCGUUUUUAUCAAUGAGACAUCACAUACAAGUUGGUCAUGACUCACGAGACAUAAUCACAACUACUUAUCAUCAUCAACUCUCAUAAACAUAUUGUACCUCAUAGGACCUACUACAUUCUCUUAGGACCUACUAUAUUAUCUUAGGUAAAAUAGCAUAAAACAAGAUAGCCCCUGACUCUCCAUUAAGGAGAAUGGAGAUUAUCCUGUCUCCAAUUCUUGCCUUUCACACAAUGUUGCUUCCAAGAACCUCCUUAUGAAUGUCCAUACAUUUCUUCCAUUCUUUGAUUAUCAUGUGUUCAUCGUUUUUAAAAAUCCGGUAUGCACAGGUGAGAUUCAUAGGACGACAUGGCUGUACGUUCAAAACAUCAAGGCGACCAUUCUGAUACAUCAAAUGAGGCACACAAUCCAUUGGGAUUUUCUGUUGAAAAACAUAGUAAUAACUUCGUAGUUAGCAAUGUAGUUCCGUUUUAGAAGUAUGCAAAAGAUGCAUGGAUGUCGUAAUAGUAAAAAAUCUUACCAGGAAAUCUCCAUGGAAGGCAUCGUUGUUCAACACGUGCACUAGUGGCACGUAUUCACCAUAAUUUGGAGGAGUUCGAUAAAAGGCAUUGUAAUCCUCAAUGUCAGUACAAUAUGCGACCAGAUGAUUUUUCUCUUGAUAAGUUAACUCAGAGCCAUCGGUGUAGUUGGUUCUGUCUACCAUCUUCCGCACACUCUUUGAAGAAUGAAAAUAAGCUAUCAAUGGAAAUAAGCUGUCAACUAUUUUGAAAUAAAUAAUAUAAAUUACUUAAUAACUAUGUUUGAGGAACGCACAUAGCGGUAGAAUUGGAAGCGUAUCAAUAAGAACCCAAAUGUCCAAAUUGCCUUGGUCGAUGUCAGGAUCACCAAGAUCCAUGAUGACAAACAUACCUUCUUGAAAAUCAUACAUCUUGCAAAGUGCUUCCCAACCCGGGCAACCAAAAUUGGAUACGCUCUCAGAAUUGUAUAGAUUUACCUCAAAAUCCAUACCAUGAUGGGUCCUUAGGUUAAUUUUCUUUGUUUCAUUCCUCUCAUGAUCUUCAAAACCCAUCCUCUCCAAGACAUAGCGUCUUGCAUGGCAUGGGAUAAGCUAGUCGAAUUGUAAAAGACGAAAAUUACAUGUUGAAGUAGUAGAAGUCGAGUUUAAUUACAAAAAAAACACUUAGCGUCGUAGCGUACCGUUUCGCAAUCAAAGGCCUCCUCGAGCUUAAUGCUGAAGCGCCGACCUUCGUCCAGGUGAGGCCUGUCGCAGAAACCCCGGUUGUCGCCGCACCAGGAGCACUCCCCGGGACCUUCUUCGUCCGACGACAUUUCUUAUGUUCAUAAUUCAAAGAUUAAACUUGUACAAUUAAAUAUAUGUACUACAAAAACUAAAUUAGAUCAUUAUUAUUCAUCACGGGUUGACUAUGGGUCUGUCGAGUCUUUUCUUGAAAACCCUCAGCUCACGUGGUGUAUAUAUUCGGACCGUCGGUGAUGGUAGCUCCUCCUUUCGUUCCCGAGUGCAUUACACCAAAUUGUCUAGCACAUGGGAACGAAGGAGAAGCUACCCCCACGACAACAGUCGGGAUUCUUCGUCCUCUCAUAUAUGAUGGAUACUCUCCCUCAUGGAUUCCUCUCUGACAUUUGCGACCAUCGGUGAUGGUCGUUACUCCUCCUACCCCUAGUGCAUAACAAAGGUCUAGCACCCGGAGAAGAAGGAGAAACGACCCCCACGACAAUAGUCGGGAUUCUUCGGCCUCGGCAGUCUUAAAGUCAACCCAAAAUAUCGUUUAAUUAUCUUUCUAGAAAAUCUAGGCCACUCGAUAUUUCAUACACAUUCUAGCACAAGUCAUGCCAAAAUUCACGGAAAAUUCCGGCAUGACCUUUCCUAAAACAAGACAUAUCGAGUGCCUGAAAUUUGCCGGAACGGAAAUUAAUCAACACUCCGGCAAAAUAUAGGCCACUCGGAGGUGUAACCUGCAAACAUGACCAGCCACUUGGGCAACCACAUAUCCUAUUUGAGCAACACAAGAUAUACAUGUUUUUAUCUACAUCAUAUCUUAUAGGACUCAUAUUGACAUGGAGAUUUGGCUGGCUCACCUCGAGGUCGAAGGGGGUCAGUGAUGAGGACGACGGCGGGGAUGAUGGAGGGGCUCCUUGAUUUCUGCAAAAACCAAAACCCUAUAAGUUAUCACUAAUACAUCCCAAAUAGUAUCAUACAUAUAACAUCACUAAUGCAACUAAAACCCUAGCGAACGACAGGUAUCGACAACGAGGAUGCGGGAUAGGCAUCGUAGACGUAGAUGUGGGAAUAAUUGCUUAAACUAAAAAAAUAACAACAAAUGUGACAUGUUCAACUAGUUCUAUUAAUUCAACUAGUUCUUACUAAAAAUAAACUUACUAUAAAUAGAAAUAAACUAGUUCUUUCUAAAAAUAAACUAGUUCAACUAGUUAUAUUAAUUUAUUACUAAAAAUACAUUAGUUCUAUUAAUUCAACUAGUUCUUACUAAAAUCAAACUAGUUCAACUAGUUUAUUAAUUCACUUACUAAUUAUUUUAAACACUUACUAAAAACAGUAAAAAAAAACUACAUUAUACAAUAGUAAAAAACUACAGUGNNNNNNNNNNNNNNNNNNNNNNNNNNNNNNNNNNNNNNNNNNNNNNNNNNNNNNNNNNNNNNNNNNNNNNNNNNNNNNNNNNNNNNNNNNNNNNNNNNNNNNNNNNNNNNNNNNNNNNNNNNNNNNNNNNNNNNNNNNNNNNNNNNNNNNNNNNNNNNNNNNNNNNNNNNNNNNNNNNNNNNNNNNNNNNNNNNNNNNNNNNNNNNNNNNNNNNNNNNNNNNNNNNNNNNNNNNNNNNNNNNNNNNNNNNNNNNNNNNNNNNNNNNNNNNNNNNNNNNNNNNNNNNNNNNNNNNNNNNNNNNNNNNNNNNNNNNNNNNNNNNNNNNNNNNNNNNNNNNNNNNNNNNNNNNNNNNNAGGGAGUACCUCGGCGAGGAGCAGCGCGGCGGCGGCGGACAACGGGUUCGACGCGGGCGAGAGCGAGAGUGAGUGAGAGGGUGCAGUGAGAACCGCUCCAGGAUAAGUUAACUAAGUAGUAGUGCGUUUCAGUUAUACGCGCUACUGCUAAGGGACGUAGCAGUAGUGCUUGUCACGCAUACACGCUACUGCUAAGUGGGGCUAGCCAUCUGCGCCCUGUACAAGUAUAGCAGCAGCGCGCUUUAGCAGAACGCGCUAUUGCUAAAGCAGUAGCAGUAGUGUGGUCUAGUUAAAAGCGCUACUAUUAAGUAGCAGUAGUGCCCUGUUUUAUCUAACGCUACUGCUAAGAUGCUGUGUAUAAGGUUUUCCCUAGUAGUGUCUGUGUAUGUGUAUCCUCCUGGUAUAUAGGAUCGUGAGUAGUGUCCGGGCCUGCGUGCCACUUCCUUUGGGCGUUCAGUUGUACCUCUCGUGUAUAUGUUGUAACGGUGGCUGAGUAAUGAAUACACAGAGCAUUCUAUCCUCUAGCUGUUAUCGGGUCCUUCACGAAAUUGUGUACUUAUUUUUUUAAUCCAUGUGUGGUUCAGAUUGUAUUCUCUGUGUUUGUAUGCCUUGUGCAAUGCUAGGUGCUUAGAAAACAAAUCAGAUUUUUCUGAAGCACCAAUUUCUAUAUGAGAGAUGUCUAAUUAAGCAUUUACUCAUCACAAAUAAGCAUUGAUGCUUAAAAAACACUGAUUUAUUUAUCUAAUAACCCCUAAGCGUCUACAGGGCCUUAUCAGCUGGUUGUUAUUGGGUCUGGAAGAUCAAACCCAGUUAGUUAGUCAAAUUUUUGACCGUGACCAAGCAGCUGGUUGUUAUUGGGUCUGGAAGAUCAAACCCGCCAGUCAAAUUUUGACCGUGACCCAGCAUGAUUACUCACGCACACGUGUCACAACAUGAUUGGGCAAAAAGACCGACUGUCCCCAAAUGAAAAACAGCCGCCCGUUGAAUAGACACUCGAGAAGGACACAAGUACUGAAACAAAACAGAACUGGAUCCAACAGAACAAGUUACUCCCACGCCCGAGGAACGUGUCGCAGCAUGAUGAAGAUAAGCAGGUUUUAUACGGCCCUGAUUACUGUAUUUCGCACUACUAGUAGGCCAAACACUACUCCAUUUCGGGACUCCCGUUACUCCAACCAAGUAGCCAGUCAAAGUAAACAUCGAAGGGUAUCACCGAAACGUACUCCCAUUUGUACAGGGUUGUAUUUAGUGAUCCUGCCGGCACAUUCAGCCCGUCUAACCAGUCUUGAUUCGUCCCCCAAACCAUGUGCUACGAUCCCAAAUAAUCAAGUUAAAAUACUCUGCGUGCAGGAUCAUGGUCCCAGAUCUUCAACAGCAAGUGUAUUUGUUUAGCAUGCCAAUGCCCAUUUUUAUAUGUCUAUGUAGUAGUACUUGUGUAACUGUCGAGUGUCGACCUGUCUGACUCUGCUGUUUAGUACUCGAACGAAAAUGCUGUGCAGACGAUGGAUCGACCACACGACAGUUGAACGAUGCCAUAUCCAGCCGUCCACUGGACUUCGAUGAUAUGCAUGGACGACCUGAUGUGCAGCGUCGUGCACAAAUCGUUCGCGCAUCUUUGUCUGCGUAGCAGCGCUCGUACUCGAAUCCAAUGCUCGCUUGGAAAAUGUAACUUGACCUUUAUGCAUCCUUGCUAAGCAAGGCUCAAUGAUUCUCUGUCAUGAUAGAAGGAAAAUUUAAUCACUUGUGCUGUCAAUCCCUCCCAUUACGUCCUCAUGUCAUGAUAUAAGCUUAAUCUGAAUUCAGCAGUCUCUGAGUACUUAAGAAACAAGGCACGUAACUUUCUGAUUAAGACUAGAAGCUCCAUUGGAGAGCUUAGUGCAAAGUGGUGUGUUUUGCCUCAGAUGAAGGGAAUCCAAUCAUGUCGCCUUAGACUACUCACAGUGGGAGUAACUUCGACUAAUAACAUGCAUAUGUUACUAGUCUAUGUUACUACCUCCAUAGUGAAGAGUAAGAUAUGUGUGGUGUCAUACAACACUUCAUUUAUUAGCUUGUAGAGUCAUUUUGUCUUGAUACGUGUGAUGUGUAUAAGGCUGGCCAUAGUGGGGGUAAUAUAAGUAGUAUCAUAUACUUGAGACUCGCAAACAUGCUUAUGUGGCAGGCAAUUAAAGAAGAAAGAGAUGGUUAUAGUAACAUAGAUAGAUACCAUAACAUAAUAAAUGUAAUGCUACUAUGUGUCAUGCAUGGCAAUGAAUGAGACCACCUAUGAUACUAAUCUAUGAUACUAUGCACUAUAGAGGUAGUAACAUAGACUAGUAACAUAUGCAUGUUACUAGUCUAAGUUACUCCUCACUAUGACCAGCCUAAGUAACUAGCUAUGUUACUCGAUUCAUCUCUCUUCUCGUUAAAUCAUUGUCACAUAAAUAAAUUUGCUGAAUUGGACCUUGUGUUACUGCUCAAGUUACUCCCACAGUGGGUAGCCUUAGACUUAGGAAUAGACCAAGCAUAAUGAUGCCAUAAAUUUUGGAGCUCCUUCAAAAAAUAUGACCUGCAAAUGGAGUCAAGGCGCAUGCAUUGCAGUCUAGAACACCUGAAAUUGACAUAAUUCUUAUACACAUUGAACAAGUCUUACAUUUUAUUUUUGAAAAGGAGGAUGUAUCCCGUCUUCUGUAUCUGGGCAAUGCAUGCAGCCGCUUUAUUAAUUAUUCAUAAAGACUUUACAAAAUAGUAUAUUAGUAAGCCUGGAGCCAUCAUCUUAACAACACAUGUCACUACUCGUAUCCCUUGAUGCAGGGGUGCCGAAUGUCCGAGCCUAAUAUUAAACAGAUAUCACACCAAAACCUAACAUCUAAUGUCACAUGCCCCAUCCCAGCCACAUACCGGGACUGGGUUACAUACCGGUCUAGCGCACGUCAUCGAGGCUGCCACCAUCAUCUUCCAGCGAUCCAUCUCCAGAGCAGGGACUGAUGCACACCUUGCCAGCCUGCCGUCGAUGCCACCAUGGCGCCAGACAGCGCCACCGCCCUGUGCUCGACCAUCCAGCCGCAUCCGUCGAUGAUAUCCCACUGCACCAUGGCGCCAAUACUCAUCGUCAUCGACGCGGUAGAUACAACGCUACACCAUCUCGCAACCUUCACACCGUCGCCACUGCUGGAGCUACGCGAAGCCCACUGCCCAUAGCAUCUCUCCCCCAAACACGAGGUCCUCCCCAAACGGCGCCUCCAUGAAGGAUACAACGCAUAGGACGCCAUUGCCACCCAAUCCAGACCAAAUUCUGGACUUUCGUCCGGGAGAGGUUCGGGGGGUGGAUAGGACAGACCUCGGCUUCGCCUCCACGGAGGGUAACGACGUCGAGUGACAUCGCCGACGCCGGGCCGAACAAGCCGACCAAAGUUUCCUCCGGUCCCAUCCUAUACCAUCAAACCUCCAUCUGCUCCGGAUCCGGUAACGAGGCAUGAACCGAAACCUGCAGAGAUGAAAGAGCCGUGGGGCUCAGCCCACCAGGAAGGAGGACCGAGAAGAACCCAUCGUAGAUCUCCAGACGCCGAAUCCAGCGAUCUAACGUGGCCAGCGACGACCACCACCACCCCACGGAGGCUGACAGUGUCCAAAGACAGGAUCCAGAUGGAUCCGAUCUGGAUCCGGUGGCACCCGCGACCACCGGUCACGUCCAACGCAGCCACCACCUCAUCACAAGCAGACCGCCGCCGCUGCGCCACGCACGACACCGCCAGGAGACCCGCCCGCUGCGCCGUCAGACCCCACGCUCGCUCGGCGCUCCUCUCGAUCUCGUUGUCCCGCGCUAGCUGAGAUGGAAAGGGUGAGGAAAAGCCCCCCCCCCCCCUCCCGCCGCCUUACCAGCCAAGCUUCGCCCAACGGCGCUAUGGACGGCGGAGAGGAGCGGGACAAGCGAAGAAGCCCGAGUACCGACAGCUAGGGUUUCCUCCCGGGUCGCCCGCGGGGGUGACGCAAGGGGGCCUAAGCUCUGUUUGAGUUAGAAAAUUAAUAAACUAUAUAAAUGAGAGAGCUUAUGAUGACUUAUUAUCUACGGUUUCUUUAGCAUUUUUUCAUAAGAAAUCUAAUAGCCACUCCUACAUGUCUGAAGUAAAUUUCUCGAUUUCAUGUGUUCCCGAGCAUUUGCCCGUAAAAGGACGGGUCUGUCACGGGUCCGUGAAAUGAUGGUAGAGUCAUCAUGGAUCCGUGGAGGAGCAACUUCGUUGUAGGGCACAUACCACCUUCACAGUUCAGUUCAUUAGACAUGCCAAUAAAGGCAUGCAUAACGAAAUCACCUACGGCGAUCAUCAUGAUGUUACAACGGCAGAGACAUGCUUACUGCAAGGCAAGUGAGAGCGUGUUUGGUUGCAGUAGUGAGCAGUACCUACAUUGCAUACACAUCUUAACCUAACCUGGCUCUAGAAAAAUAACCUCAUACGCAACAUCUGCAAGUUGUUUGGUUGUCUGCAUAUGACUUCCUACAUUAGGGGAUCAACUUUGACACGUUGUUUGGUUGGCUGCAUUGUCUCAGCGCAUACAACUACACGUUGUUUGGUUGCCCGCAUGAGCUAUGAUUAGGGCGUGUCCAACGCGAACGCUAGAACGAGCGCAGGAUCUGAUUCCCGGCCAAUUAGUGGUUAGUUUAGGAAAUCCUGGUGAUUUGCUGUGCUUAGCCUCUUUUCUACCCGCUGGAAGCCCCCAGGUUCGUUAUUUAUUGAAAGCAAUUAGCGCCUGCCGUUGGAACGCAAGGCGCUUACUUAUUUUCUAAUUUUAUGAUCAUUAUUUUCUUUUUCGUAAGCGCCUAUACUAGCGGCUGGCAUUUUAGAUGCCCUUAAGAGCUAGCACUUGCACUUAGCACACAGGGUUAAGAGCUAGCAAAGGAAGGGGGAGAGAAAUGCAGUGUGCGCCGGACCAUAUGGCGACUGUGGUGGACAGUGACCGUGGCACCGUGUCCGACAUGACGAGCAUGAAGUCAUGGGCGAGCGACCCCGUCGGCGAACUAGUUGAAGUGCUCGUGCAAAGACAGUGGACAGAGGAGGAGAAAUGCAGUGCUCACGCCAUGGCAUCGUCAGUGUAGUAGGACGAGAGAGAGGAGUUGAGAUGAUCGACGCCGUAGGACGAGAAAGAGGAGGCCAAGAUGAUCGACCCCGUCGGUGGCAGACAACAGAGGAGAAGAACCUCGUGAGUAUGCACGCCAUGGCGGCUUAACUACAGUAGGAUCAUGGAGAGAAGGCCGAGAUGAACGAUGGCGAUGAUGAUGCUACCACAGCAAGACGCGAGAGAGGAGAUCUAAAGAAACCACACCGGCUUGAGGAAUAAUUAAGCAGUGUCUUAAAUCAUAGCACACAUAUCCAUAUGUACAACCAUGAGAAAUAUGUAGAUCUUCUUGUCUACGAUCAUCGAAACAUAAAACUUGCAACACGAAUGUUGUGCAGAAUUGCGAGAUUAGGCUACUGGUCAAAGGAGAUUUCAAACAAUCAAUCAUGCGUGACGAAUCUGACAAAAUUCGUCCAAAACAGCUCCAAAUGGGAACAAGAAAUUGGGCAUGUACGGUCGACAAAACUACAAACUGAUCGCCUGAAUGGAACCGUAGUAUCGAUGUGCAUAUUUUUUGUGUAGAGCUUACCUCGACUCGAAGCACUGUUGUGUAGAUUAGAGGGACACAGAAAAGAGAAGCUUGUUGCUGUCUACUGUUGGAAAUAUGCCCUAGAGGCAAUAGUAAAAUGGCUAUUAUUAUAUUUCCUUGUUCAUGAUAAUUGUCUAUUGUUCAUGCUAUAAUUGUAUUAACUGGAAACCGUAAUACAUGUGUGAAUACAUAGACCAUAACAUGUCCCUAGUGAGCCUCUAGUUGACUAGCUCGUUGGUCAAUAGAUGGUUAUGGUUUCCUGACCAUGGACAUUGGAUGUCAUUGAUAACGGGAUCACAUCAUUAGGAGAAUGAUGUGAUGGACAAGACCCAAUCCUAAGCAUAGCACUUCGUGUAGUUCGUUUGCUAAGAGCUUUUCUAAUGUCAAGUAUCAUUUCCUUAGACCAUGAGAUUGUGCAACUCCCGGAUACCGUAGGAAUGCUUUGGGUGUACCAAACGUCACAACGUAACUGGGUGGCUAUAAAGGUGCACUACAGGUAUCUCCGAAAGUGUCUGUUGGGUUGGCAUGAAUCAAGACUGGGAUUUGUCACUCCGAUGACGGAGAGGUAUCUCUGGGCCCACUCGGUGAUGUAUCAUCAUAAUGAGCUCAAUAUGACUAAGUAGUUAGUCACGGGAUCAUGCAUUAUGGAACGAGUAAAGUAACUUGCCGGUAACGAGAUUGAACGAGGUACUGGGAUACCGGUGAUCGAAUCUCGGGCAAGUAACGUACCGAUUGACAAAGGGAAUUGUAUACUGGAUUGCUUGAAUCCUUGACAUCGUGGUUCAUCCGAUGAGAUCAUCAUGGAACAUGUGGGAGCCAACAUGGGUAUCCAGAUCCCGCUGUUGGUUAUUGGCCAGAGAGCUGUCUCGGUCAUGUCUGCAUGAUUCCCGAACCCGUAGGGUCUACACACUUAAGGUUCGGUGACGCUAGAGUUGUUAUGGGAAUUAGUGUGCAGUUACCGAAUGUUGUUCGGAGUCCCGUAUGAGAUCCCGGAUGUUAUGAGGAGUUCCGGAAUGGUCCGGAGGUAAAGAUUUAUAUAUGGGAAGUCCUAUUUUUGCCACCGGAAAAUGUUCGGGAUUUUUCAGUAUUGUACCGGGAAGGUUCUAGAAGGUUCCGGAGUGGGGCCCACCUGCAUGGGGGGACCCACAUGAACGUGGGUAGUGGGGGCAAGGCCCCACACCCCUGGUCAAGGCGCACCAAGAUCCCCCCUUAGAAGGAAUAAGAUCAUAUCCCGAAGGGAUAAGAUCAAGAUCCCUAAAAAGGAGGGAUAACAAUCGGUGGGGAAGGAAAUGAUGGGAUUUCUUUCCUCCCACCUUUGCCAACGCCCCAAUGGACUUGGAGGGCAAGAAACCAGCUCCCUCCAUCCCUAUAUAUAGUGGGGAGGCGCAUGGAAGCUUCACCCUUGCCCCUGGCGUAGCCCUCCCCCUCUCCAACUCCACCUCCUCCUUGGUAGUGCUUAGCGAAGCCCUACCGGAGAACUGCAAGCUCCACCACCACGCCGUCGUGCUGCCGGAGCUCUCCCUCAACUUCUCCUCUCCCCUUGCUGGAUCAAGGAGGAGACGUCUCCGGGCUGUACGUGUGUUGAACGCGGAGGCGCCGUCCGUUCGGUGUUAGAUCGGAUCUUCCGCGAUUUGAAUCGCCGCGAGUACGACUCCCUCAUCCACGUUCUUGUAACGCUUCCACAUCGGAUCUUCAAGGGUAUGAAGAUGCACUCCCCUCUCUCUCGUUGCUAGUCUAUCCAUAGAUUGAUCUUGGUGAUGCGUAGAAAUUUUGAAUUUCUGCUACGUUCCCCAGCAUCUACCCCAAACCCUAACUUUGCCCUAGCUAGCCUCUGUCUGCACCUUACUGUCUUUCUGUGCUCGAACGACAGAACAAGGAGGAAGAAGAAGAUAAAAGGGAACACACGGUGGACUCUAGGAGAUUUUCCAGCGCACGAACGCUGCCUUUCUCGAGCAACAAACUCGACCCCAGCACACGUUACAACGAUCACGAAGGCGAUUUUAUACCCGGGCCAGCGCUAGGCAACAACCCGCACGCAUCUACCCACUCCCCCGCAUGGUUCGGCCCGCUCAGCGCGCCCACGACGCGCUCCUGCUCGCGCUCACCACGCUGAGCCCGCAACGGACCGAUGCGAUCACCCCGCCCAGAUCGCUAACUGCAUGACUACGCACACACCCACGUACGGUGUCCACCUACACGGCCACCCCCGUGCACCACACGCAUGCACACACGCACACCUACGCCGCGGACUCGACCCGCCCGACAAGCCCAACUAGUGGCCAUACACGCGCUAGACACGCCCGACCCGUCGCCGCGGCUUAUUCUGGCCAACACUCACCCCUAAGCCGUGACUCAGAGCAGGCCGCCGUCCUCGACGCCGGUGUCCUCCAUCAUCGCGUGCUCCUCCGCUGGCACCUUCCGAAGCUGGGGACACUCUCGCUUGAAGUGGCCGCGCUCGCCACACUUGUAACAGCGGCCGUGCCUGUUGCCACCAUAGCCCACGCCAUGCUCCGCCCUCGUCGUCGUCCCGAGCAGCACCGCUCUUCUGCUCCCGUGCUCGCCACUGCGCCACCAUGUACAUGAGCUAACCGCCCGCCCGCUCGCCGCCCGCCUGUCCACGCCGUCGCAGCCGCUCGUCGAAGGCCUUCGGGCGACCGAGCGCGUCCUCGAACGGCAUGGUGAAGACAUCGCAAAACUGCUCGAUUCCGGCCACCGCCUCGUACAAGUGAUCCGACACAUAAUCGAGGAGCUUCUUCACCAUCGCGGCGUCGUCUAGCAUCGACCCGAGUCCCGCGUAGCACGCUGACAUGCCGCUGAGCUUGCCGGCAAAUCCAUCCAGCGUGUCGCCCUCCGCCAUGCGCAACAUCUCAAACUCCCCUCGGAGAGUGCCCAGCCGCGCCGCCCAGACUCGGUCCGCCCCGACGAACCUCGCCUUCAAGCUAGCCCAGAUUUUCGUCGCCGUCUUCUUGGACGUAACCUGCAGCAGAAGGUCGUCGGCGAGCGCUCGAAGCAGGUACGCCCGCGCCGGCUUGUCUUUCUUGGCGAUCACGGCCGCCGUCGCAUCAUCCACCGGCACCACCGCUUCCCACAACCCAGCAGCAUCCAGGUCGGCCUCCACCUUGAUUGCCCACGUAGUGUAGUUCUCACCAGUGAGCACGGGCACCGGCACAGGCAGCGAGCUCCCCGAACUGCCGGAAUACGGGACGAGCGACAUCUCCGAUGAUCUCCCGCGAACCUGAUGCUCUGAAUACCAAAUGUUGUUGUCUACCCCAAACCCUAACUUUGCCCUAGCAAGCCUCUCUCUGCACCUUACUGUCUCUCUGCGCUCGAACGACAGAACAAGAAAGAAGAAUAAUAUAAAAGGGAACACAUGGUGGACUCUACGAGAUAUUCCAGCGCACGAACGCUGCCUUUCUCGAGCAACAAACUCGACCCCACCGCACGUUACAACGAUCACGAAGGCGAUUUUAUACCCGGGCCAGCGCUGGGCAACAACCCGCACACAUCUACCCACUACCCCGCCUGGUCCGGCCCCCUCAGCGCGCCCACAACGCACCCCCGCUCCCGCUCGCCAGGCUGAGCCCGCAACUAACUGAUGCGAUCACCCCGCCCAGAUCGCUAACUGCAUGACUACGCACACACCCACGUACGGUGUCCACCUACACGGCCACCCCCGUGCACCACACGCACGCACACACGCACACCUACGCCGCGGACUUGACGCGCCCGACAAGCCCAACUCGUGCCCAUACACGCGCUAGACACGCCCGACCCGUCUCCGCGGCUUAUUCUGGCCAACAAAGCUUACUGGAGGUUGAAGAAGACACCAGGUAAACACCUCGUAUCCCUUCCAUCUCCACUCAUGCAAGGGCCCGCUCGCUUGCGCUCGCCUCUGCCUGGCUCGCAAGAAACUGCCAAUCUGAGAGUUACCAGUGAGCCAGGCCCAGAUGUCCUGAGUGAUCUUCAUGAUGUUGCUUGCGGUUCAUACAUUGGAAUGCCAUUGGGAAAACAAAUCUUAUUUAGACUUGCACCAACCAUGGCUGUCCACAAGAACAUCAAACCCCUCGGACAUGUUACAACUGACAAAAACCCUGAUUAUUGUCCACAACUAUUUUACUUUGAACCACAGAUCAAUCACGUUAACUAAUCCGAACCGACAACGUUAAUAUUUGGGAGUCAGAUAGAUACACAGAGAAUAAUCAACAAGACCAAACAGCAGGCCCCGGUUCCACGAGCAGACCGAACGAAUUUCUUCCAUAGCGACCAUUCAUCCAAAGAUAUACCUCAGCUCGUAUCACAGAUGCGACCAGCCUCAAGGCCGGUCCCUCAUAUGCAUCAGGAAUCAUUCACAGCAGUAGAACAGGUUUGCGCGCAAUCUGUUCAAACCAUGGUCACCUCAGGCAAAUCAGUGUUCAGAAGCACGAUCGAUUAGCGGCCCGUUUUCGCGCGUUUCAUCCCGGUGGAGUUGAAGGGUGACACACUGGGACUGAGAUGUGGGCCUGGGCUUGGGCUUUCCUCCCUUAGAGUUCCAUUCAGUAUUGCCAAUUCUCUCAGCUGUUGCUUCUUGAAGUAAUCCAUGGAUUCAUCCUGGUGAUAUGUAAUACCGUUAGCGGGAGAGGUAAUGCCGACUUAAUUCAAAGAAAAAAUGAGGUCAUGGAAAAGUGGGAACUGGGACAGAUAAGAUGGAGAGGGACAUACUACUGGUUUGAGAAGAUCUUCCAGUAUGACCACAGCCUGGUUUAGUCGCACAUCAACAAUAUCCGCCGGGAACUCAGCUUCGAUAAGCACAUGCAGUGGUUCGUUUAAGUGCUCAUAGCCAGGCUUAUCUCUAAGCUUGUUUUCCUAUUCAAUAAAAAAAAAUCGGCUUUUCAGAACCUCUCCAAUAAUAUUUUUGGUAGUCACUGGAUGAGAGGAAUUGUUAAACACAAGAGUUAACUCUAUUAAGCAUGCUUACAAAAAUAUACUAGAUUUUAGUGACUAGUAGUUGUCUUGUUUAUGCACGGGCCAACUGAAAAAACAUGAAUGCAUGUUUUCAAAAGGAAUGACACUGAAAUAAGUUGUGAAAAACAAUCAACACUCCAUACUAUCCGGGCAACAACAUGAGAAUAUAGGUAAGAUGAAUAUAAUGAAUACACCACAUUUUAACUGACAGCUCUACUAAAAGGGGUGAGAUACAACUGGCGAGCAAACUUAGUCUAUGGAACCUAGAAGGUUUGUUUGGACUUUCUGCACUGUCUGUGGGUAAAUUACUAGUAGAAUUUUCAUGUUAACAAGACAUGGCUUGAAGCUUACGAUGCUAUAACAUAACAAAUAACUGAGUAGAACUGGAACCGUUCUUUUACUUCAAUCAAUACAAAUGCCGCCCAUUACUAGCUCAACAUCUAUCAGCCUUUUACUGUGUAAGGCAUAUUGUACUUUUAAAAACAUAGAGUUUGCCCGCCAAAAAAAUACAUGGGAGUUUUACAUCGAUCAGAAGAAUUCAGGAUCAACCUUCAGUUUUACUUUCAUAUCCAAUUUAAUUAACAAAUAACAACCAUACAUACUAUAUCUAUAUUUUAACGUGCAAAAUAAGUACUGUAACAGAACACGGUCCUAAAACGUCUCUAGGAAAAAGGUGGUGCUAGAACAUUCUAAGCGUGUGAGUAAGCAACAAUGGAAUGGUGGUUCUAAUCUGUGUUUAAUUUACCUUCACAGUAUCUUUCACUGAACCACGUCCACGAAUAUAGACUCUACAUUGUGUUGUAGCUUCAACUCUUUUCAGAGAGUUUCCUCGUGGCCCCAACAAACGACCAACAAAGUUGAACUAGUCAUAACAAAAAAUUGUAGAUGAUUUGAAUUUAGCAAAUCUCGUAAUCAAGUUUAAUAGUUUAUCAAAACAGCUUGAGGUGAAAGUACGUCGUACAUACAUUUGGAUACUUUUCUGCUGGAACAUCCAUCCUGACAAGUUUCUUCACAACAGGGCCGCCAACAACUCCAGGACCACCAUUCCAGCCCAUGGAUGGUGAAUGGUGUAUCCCCAUAUGCUGAAGAAAGGCAUUUUAAUAUAAUCAAUGAAAAGAAAUAAUAUGAAAGUGUUUCUAUUUUGGCAUUGAAGAUGACCACUGUUGCACAUUAAUUAUUACUCCCUCCGUCCCAGAAUAUAAGAGCGUUUUUACACUACACUAGUGUCAAAAAUGCUCUUAUAUUAUGGGACGGAGGGAGUACAUGAUAAGAACAAGUUAUACAAGUCUCUUAGUUGUAAUAUCAGGAAAACGAUAUGAACAGAGUCCAUAUAUCCACACCACUUCCUUAACAAAACCCAGGUUAAUUCUUUACUGUAUUGUCAAAUUACGAUUUUUAUGGGUGAAUGAAAUUGCUGACUAGUCGAACGAUCGGUUACAAGAACGACUGGAUGAGGUUUACCUGGUGUCAAGCUUCUAUCAUUUACAUAUUAUCUUCUAUAUCUAAAUAGUUAGUCCCCACUGACAUUCUCUCAACAUGCAAGCAUGCCACCUCACCAUUCAACGAGCAUGGGAAAAUGCCCACCUCAACAUGCAACUAUGCAUAAUAAAAAUCCACCUCAACAUGCAAACAUGCAUGCAUGGAAUUUUUAAUUCCAUUCUAUUAUGCUAUUUACAUUUAAUUCUUAUAUUCGUUCAAAAACUAUCAUUUCAAAUAUUCAUGUUCCAUAUAACCAAAACCUCAUUGAAAUAUUGCAAAACAUUCCCGCAACAACGUGCGGGGCAUCAUGCCAUCAUCUAGUUCUCCUUAUGGGUAGAACCAGUGGUUCCUAAAUCCUAAUCAUUAAUCUCGGAGGAAUAAUUUUGAGAUCCAAGGCUUGGAUGAAAAUCACCAUUGAACUAGCAAGAACAUUGUCAUUUUCUCAAAAGGAAAAAGCCAAAACAUGCCAUUCUUGAAUUAUUCAUAGCUAUUAACAUCUGUACUGUAACAGUGGCUGUAACUUGAUUGGUGCUUUUGAAACCAUUCCUAUUAGUAUCACAACGUAUAGCUUUCCUUUUUUCCGUUUCAUGUUAAUGAGCUGGACAGCUGACUGAGACUCGGUCCUAUACUGGUUCAUUGGUCCCUGCGAAUUACUAAACAGCUUCAAGGAUAACAUGAACUAGUUGGCAGCACUGGUAGAGAUUUGCAUAGUUGAAAUAUCCAUAUUAGAAAAAGAAAAAAAAGAGAGCAGGGAAGGUAGAUAUAAUCAUGCCAGCAUUUCUCUAACAGCUAUAUAGAACGUUAAGGCAGUUAGGACUUGUAAAACCAAUAAUCAGAAGAUUGUAUGAAUUUGCACAACCUCUGCAUGCAUUCCAGUCCAUCCCUCCAUAUCCAUUGGUUGACCGUUCAUAGGGUGGCCAGCUAAUCUUAACGGGCUACCAUAAUCGAAUCUCUCAGGUUCAACAAAAUUUGGGUUAGGUGGCAAAGAAGAUGCCCGCAGAAUUUCUGCAUUGAAGAAAACAAGCCAGUACGAAAUCCGUUAGUUCUAUUUGUGUCACUUUAAAUCAGGGAGAAAAUGUCCAUGCUAUGUUUAUAUCUAUAACCUGGAACUACAACUGGAUGUUAGAAUUUAGAAAUCGCCACUCAAGCAAUAUAAUGGUUAAAUUAUAAUAAAGAAGUGAAAAGUAAGCAUAUUAACUGAAAGAUAUGACUGAGGAACUUAAGGGUGUUAGACUGUCUGGUAUUCUUGUUUCGUCAACGAGUUAGUUCUGCAUGUUAUACAAUCUCUGGCGGCAAUUUAUGUGAUUUACAUGGAUGCCAUCAUUGGGGAUUUCAAAGUAACGGUAUGGUGGAACAAGACAAGAUAAUACAUUCUGAAAAGAAAUUAUCAUGAGCAGCUUUUCAUAUAAAAAGAACGGACAUGAUUGUUCAAAGAAGAAUAGCAAUUUCUUUUGGCAAAAAGCGAGGAUGGGUAAGAAUACCAACUGGAUGAAUGUAAAACUCUAAUAGCAACUAGAAUCUGGGGUUAUUGGGAACUACAUAAACAAAUAGCUUCGAUGUAAUUUGAAAAAGAAAAAAGAGAGAGAGAAGGGAAUAGACCUUGGUUUAAAAGCCUGUUACAAAAUGGAAGAACUUGCAGGAAAGGAACUAGCUUCUGCCUCUCGGCAAGUAACUCAGCAAUAUACCUACGAAGCAAAUAAUCUCAUUAGUAAGAUCAGCUGCAAGUACCACAGGCACAUAUUUACUUAAGAACAGAAAAUAAGAAUAGCACCAAUAAUUAGCGACCUAAUCAAAAGUCACAACAAUGAGCACCCUGCAAAUGAACUUCACACUAUCAGAGGCCAAUCGAGGACAUCGUGCUCAUUUAUUCGUAAUAGCAAGCACAAAUCUAGCAUUAGAAGGCAAUCCCCAAAUCCUCAACUUGGGAGAUCACUACAGCGUGGGGACAUCAUUUGACCGUCACCAGAAUCACACCGGGAUGGUCCAGAUUAGGCACAAAUCUCGCACGACCAGAGUCAAAUCUCACGCCCACGACGAGUUUUUCAAGCUAGCAGGAUCGGCGCGAAGAUAAAAACGAAAACUUCACAGCAGUUCACAAGAGGAGGAGGGGCACAGACCUCUCCCUCUCGGAGGCAGACGACCUGAUGGGGUUGUGGUGGUGAGGGGAAGAAUGGACGCCAGACGGCGAGUACUGGAAGAAAGGGGGCGGCGGGAUCCUCUCAUCCAUGGCUCCCAGCAUGGAACAAGAAACCAAAGAAGAGCUCCGCAAGAUUGCAAUCUCCGGGCAAGACAGGGAGCCCAGGGAGCCAAGAAAUCUGGAGAACGGAGGAAGAGGAACAGCUGGUAGCUAUCAAAGCAAAUGAAUGUGGUGGAGGCCCUAUAUGGAAUCCAAUGAAAUCUGGAAAAGACAGGAAGGUGCCAAGAACCGAGAAAUAAGUGUAGGGAUGAGUGGGGAUUUGAUGAUUAUAUAUGCUAUAGAUUAAACAAAAAGGGGAGGUGAUAGCUGGGUUUGCGUCAAUCAAUUAUCAGAGCCCAGGCUGUGCGGGGCUGGCAGCAGCAGCAGCAGCGCUUUGUGGCUGCCUGCCUGCCCGCUCGCUCCUGCUGUUCUUGCUCGCUAUUCCUCCUCCCUGUACUGCAGCGUCGCACGCACCCUGUGGACAGAGGGGGUGGGUGACCGGUGAGAGGGAGGAAGAGACAAGCCGAAGGCCUUGGAUGCUCGCUCACUGCUCUAUGCAGUUGUGGAGGGAAUUGCACAAACCACCACUUAUUGGGGCUAGCGUUGCACAAAACACCUACUAUACGGGUUUGUUGCGAAAAACACCAUCUUUUGGUGUAAUACAUUGCAGAUAGGUCUAAUCUGGUGUUUGAACACAUUAACAUAAUUACAGACAAAUGGGUCCCGCUUGUAAGUGCACGCGUGGCAAUAAAAACCGGCCACAUCAGCAACAAACCUGAAAAGAACCCAAGGUUUCAUGGUCUUUUCUUUUGUCUGCAUGCGCAAAUCGAAGGGUUUAAGAAUGGAUUUUGGCCUUUCAUUGGUAAAUAUCUCACCUCUUUACUCUAUUGUUUAAUAUUUCUCGCCUUUGUCAAUUGCAUUUAUCCAUAUUUUGUACUAUGUACAGGGAUUGAUGGAUGUUUUCUUAAGUUGGGUAAUGGAGCACAAGUGCUUGCCGCCACAGCUCGAGAUGGCAAUAAUAAUUUUUAUCCACUCGCAUUCGAUGUCGUUGGAACAGAAGAUACUGCUACAUGGUCAUGGUUUCUCAAUCAACUCAAGUAUGCACUAGGUGGUUAUGCAGGUCAGUUUAGGAAUGCAACGAUAUGAAGACAGCAGAUUGUUUUCCUACUUCACUCUAGGUCUAGGGUACCAACCUCGUCAAGAAUGAAUGGCGUAUAGUAGUUUCUAAUGGCCAUGUUGCGACUUUGCAAGUGCUUGGAUGUUUAAACCUGAUGGAUGUACCUUUUGGUGUAUGAGACUAGUCAUAUUAUUUUGCGAUGGUUAUAAUGCCGAGGCCUCUUGUAAUGCCCAUAAGGUAACUACUUUGCUGUAAUGGUCAUAUGUCAACUACUUGGAUGCUAAAAUCUAAUGGAAACAAUAUCUACCAUAUUUUUGUGUUGGUGGUCUCAUGCCGAACUUGCUUCAUUUAGAUGUGGGUUCAAAAUUUAACAAUUCUAGAGAAGUGUGAAAAAAUUAUAGUAAUUUACACAUGUGUAAAGUACCAUUCUGAAAAAGUUUUACCCCAUUUGGAUUAAUGGUUUGCUACAUAAUGGAAGUUUUAGUUAGCCCAUUCAAUUUUUUUGUUAAAAAUUUGGCAUUUUCAGAAAAAUAUGAAAUAAUUUCAGUAAAUACUGCAUGUAUUCAAUAGUAAUCUAGGAAAGUUUUGGCUCAAUUGGACCACAUGUUUUGGAGAUAAUGACAGUCCAAUAUGUUGCUGAUGUGGCCGGUUUUUAUUGCCACGCGUGCACUUACAAGCGGGGCCCAUUUGUCUGUAAUUAUGUUAAUGUGUUCAAACACCAGAUUAGACCUAUUUGCAAUGUAUUACACCAAUAGGUGGUGUUUUUCGCAACAAACCCGUAUAGUAGGUGUUUUGCGCAACGCUAGCCCCAAUAAGUGGUGGUUUGUGCAAUUCCCUCUGCAGCUGUGUGUCUCAUCGGUUUCUGAACUUCGGGUUACUCACUGCUUCUGUAGCUCUCCUUUUCUCGUGUUUAUUAUUUUUUCUUUUGGCAGAUAUUGUCAUUUCCGUCAAUUAUAUUUGAAAAAGAAGAUGCUUGUGCUACCCCUCGCUUCCAAGUCAACGAUACGGAAACACUCCAUUUUUUUUGAAGCUGGAAACACUCCAUUUGGACACCUUGAUCGGACGGCUAUUAUCGCUGAGUCAGAAAAAAUAAUUGACUGUUUUUGGCCAAGGCUCAUUUAUCCAUCCGGUCAACGGUGUUCCACAUUCCAAAAUCUCAAAUCCAUAUAAAAUCAUGCGCGUAGAUCAUUUAACGAUACAUAUAGAACAAAUCAAUGAAAAAAACACAAAACAAUUCAACAAUAAAUAGUUCAGACCAAAAAAAUACUAUGUAAUUCAUAAACAUUAUUGAAAGUAUAUAAUUCAAACAAAAAGUUCAUAGGACAUCACAAAUCUAAUGUUUAUCAGCAUGAACCCACAUAUACUUCACAAGACCAUUGAGUCAAAGGAUUGAAUGAUAUGAAUCACUCAAUUACGACAUCAUGAAUCGUGCAAUGCAAAAGGAUGUGAAUAUCUUGAUCGGACCACUAUUGUCACCGAGCUAGAAAUAACUAUUUCUAAUUCAACUAAGUAAUAAUCACUCACGAAAGUAAUAACAUACUUUAAGCUGAGGAAUGACAUAAAACUAGAGACUAAAACACCAUUUUAAAGAAAGGUUUUAUGUUUUACUAGCUAGCACCAUGAAGUGGUCGGCCAACCUGCUAAGGGUUGGAGCCUCAUUUCUACCUUAAUUUUGGUUGGCCAACCUACUAGGGUUCGAGCCUCAUUUCUACAUUAAAUAUGGUGCCUAGUCCUCCUAGAAUCAAAUUGUUUUUUAAUAUACAUUUUUAGCUGAUAGUCCAGCAAUAAAUAUAUUUACACCAAUUAACUUGACGUGAGUGGGCUCUCAAAAUGCAACAAAUCAAAGUGGUUUAUCACCCAUGACAUGGCGCAGAGGUGGACCUAGAAUAAAAAUGAUAGGGGUACACCACCGUAGAAAAUUUGCAUCAACGAACUUGAGCAUCAGGCGUCACAUGCAUAUCAAGAAUAGGUUAUGUCAAGAGGAAAUUAGAAGGUACCCGAUGUCCCGUGCACCUGUAGAUUUACUAUAGGACCGCCCCUAACAAAGUGUUGAUAAUGAUCGCCUCAAGCAUUGAGGCUGGCCUAAUUGCAUGGUUUGUUCUCUGUGCAGGGUAGUGUCAGAAUCUGUGGUGCAUCAUUGUUAUCUAAUGCUAAAAGGACCUAGAUUUCAUACAAAGAGGGUGAAUGUGUGAUUUACAAAAUCUUACGAAUUUGGCUCAAUCUUAAUGUGGAAUUUUACUAGGCGAAUCUUAUCUAGCCUAAAUCAUAAAUAUGUUAGGAUCAACUAAGUGCACCAAUAAUACAUGUUGAACAAUAUGCAAAAUUAAAGGAAACUAGCUAGCAAUUCAAACUCUACACCAGACAUGUCAUAAUAGCAAAUGUGAAUUGUGGAAUGUAAUGGGGACAAGAGAUAACUAAUGUAUUUUUCGAGUUUGAAUGUCCAUCAAUAUUCUACUCUCCAUACCGAUACAUGCGAAUUCUCCUUGAGUCACUAUCCUCUCGAGGGAUUGGCACUCGAUCCACUAUGGCUAGCUUCUUCCUCCACUCUGUCAAGCUCCAUAACAACUAAACAACACAACUCAAGCCUAUUAAAAAACUCCAUGAAGAGAUCACUGAACCAAUGCCCCCGACUCUCUAGGAGUUGGUUACCUCUAAAGGUAACAAGCUCUCAAACUCUCACGCGAACCAAUGGACACAAACAUCUCAACUAACGAAAAAAAAGAA